RNAcentral lists this long non-coding RNA (86306 nucleotides) under Phoenix dactylifera (date palm). Lineage: Eukaryota; Viridiplantae; Streptophyta; Magnoliopsida; Arecales; Arecaceae. The record is from RNAcentral.
UUGAGGGGCCUUUUAAUUCAUAAUCUCAGAACCUUGUCGAUUGAUGAUAGCCAUCUUAAUACUGCUUUUUUCAGAAUGAUCUUGCAAUUGAUCUCUUAGAUCUAAUACUGCAUCGCCACCAUAUCCUGUUGGCCAUCGGUGCUAUUGUUACCCAUGAAAGUCUGUCUUUGAUCUCUAUGCUGAGCAGAAAAUUAGGUAAAUAAAUGGCACUUAGUCUUUAUCCUAAUGGAAAUCUAUACCUUGACUUAAAGUAGGCAUUCAUGUCCACUGUCAAAUUGAUCAUCUGAUUUGAAAAGAUCUUCUGUAGGACAGUCUUGGUAACGGUCGGUUCUUUUACAUGACAGACCUCAUGUUCAUGUUGCAUUAUUUGUUGCUGAAGGAAGUGCAUCGUUCAGUCGCCAUCCAAUAAGAACCAUGACACAUGGAUGAUGCUUCAAGUCUAAUCCUAACGCCAAAAAGUUUUCCCUGCACCAUUGGCAUUCCACAUGACUUAACAGAACCUGUACUGAUUACAAGAUCGAUGCGGUUCAGUGGUAUCAAAAAAGUUCUUGCUUUUAAGAAGGCCUACCAUCCAUUCAUGUUCCCUUCUCAUAAAGCACUAAUCUUCUUGUGACUGGGUAUGCAAGCAAUGCAGGAAAAGCUUUUUCAUAAUAGGAUCAGGUCUGGUAGCUUUUCUCCAUUUCACAUUAUUCAACUACAGGUUUAAAAAAAAAAAGACACCUUCAGGUAGGCCAAGCAAGAAGCUGUGAAUAGUAGACCUGGUCCAUGCUGAGACACGCACCUUUGCUAACUAUUGACGAACUCCACUAAUUGCGUUCAAGAAUCUCCUUGACACAUUCCUUGCUUCUUCCCACCAAUCCCUAGCUAACUUGAUACCAAACUAUCCAGAGAAACACGGCCCAACUACAGUACCAAAGAAAAGCUUCAUUGCCACAGGUUGUUGCAGUAUUCUUCGCUUUUGUCACACCAACCCUAUGAGCGGCACCUAUUUUUCUCAUGCCAUAUGGCAUAUAACUUUUCUUGGUAAAAUGGUUUGGUCCCAUAACACUGCUCAAGCACGUACACACUCAUCCGAACAUGGAAGGAUCUUUCAGCUUUCAUGGCCAUGUUAUGCUAUGUUUCUUCCAAUUGAAGGGUCGACUAUCUUUAAUUUUGUACUGUUUCUCUUGUUUUCUUAAGCCCAAGAAAUCCUUUCUGCUACCACUUGCAUGGUCUUCUUAUGCUUGGUUUCUUCCAGCUGCAGCAACAUCUCCUACCAGUACACUGCUAAAUUUUCCUCUUUUCCUCCCUCUCUCUUGCAUAAGAAGCACUCGAUCCUCUCUUCCUUCUUUCUAUGCCUAUUACUUGAACUAUGUAACUAAAAUAGACUGGCUGUCAUGAUCUCUUUAUUUCUUUGUUAAAAACCGCAUGCUAUUAGAUGUAUCAGAUUUAUGGGCAAGAUAAUUAUAUUCUAGCUAAUGGGACGUCUUCCGCUAUUAAAUUUAAACAUUCUGAGAUCGCAAGUAAACUAAAAUAAUGCAAAACUUUGCUUGAAAAAUCAGAUUAUGACCUAGAGAUUUUUUUUGUAAUGCUGACGACCUGCAUGAGUUCACCGAUACCCAUUGAUAUGGAGAGUAGUUUAAAUGUUUACUAGGGUCAAUAAUUAAAUACAUACAGUAUUUUGUAAUAUUUGUACUCAGCAGGAGACCAUUUCUCCCUUAGAAAUACACGCAUUCCAAUAUUUAAUCCUCAUGCCUGGUAAAACUCAAGAACUAGUCCCAUGAGAUUGAUCAGCACACCACCAAUUCCUAAUCCCUGAGAUGACAAAUAAUAAGUCAACUUUCUAAGCUGUAUUAUGCAAUUUUUUCAUAUUUUCUAUCUGUGUAUACCCUAUUUUUCCCUUGUAGCCUAGUGUCCAAAACUAAACUGAAAGAAGUAUAUAUAGUUGUUAAAGAAUGAGAGUAUGUAUGGAAAUUUUAUGAGCAGAGAUCUGGCAGCAACUUCAAGUACCUAUGCUCUUUCAAAAUGCUCCCUUCCAAUUUACUGUCAACUGUAGCUUUUUAUACAGUAACGAUACGUUAGGUAAUGUUAUGAUAAUCUCAAGAGACCUGAUGUGGCCAGAAAGUCUGGUGAGAAAAAAGAGGGAAUUCCCUCAAAAGAGGAAAACAUGAGGAAAAAGGAACCACAAUAACAAGGAAAAGGCCUCAGGCCACCAACCAUACCAAGAACAAUCAGCUAAAUCUAGGUCCCACACACAGCAAAAAAAUGUUACGAUAUAAUUCACAGAUUUAAUAUCUGACCCAACCUAUGAUUUAACUACAUAUUCUAGUUGAUGAUGGAGGAAACUUUGUAUUCAAAUUCUCAGAACAAGAUCCAACUGUCCAAGCUAAGGCGUAUUUUCCGCUCAUUAGCUCAAAUGAAGCCCACCUCCUCUCCCCAGAGAAAGAGCUCCUUCUCCUUCUAUGCCCUUACUCUAUCAUUCGUCGUCUUCGUGACCGUCCUCUAUGGUGAAGACUUCAGAUGCAUCUUAAGGCAACCGUUUCUGAAAUCCCUACAACUCCAAGGCGCAGAAAAACAAGAAGAAUCCAUAGCAACACAAGGUAAGGAAGCCAAAUUUUUUGAUGAACGAGAUCCAGGGAGGAGUGUCUUCUUGCUUAGUAUACUAACUCAAUAUUGGCCUUAGAGGAGGAUGCUGUCUUGCCGUUUGCCAUCGGAAGGACGGAGAAGAGGUGCGACGUGUUCAACGGUACAUGGGUCUAUGACAAUGUAACAAGGCCUUACUACGCUGAGCCAGAUUGCCCUUUCAUCCAGCCUCAGCUGAAGUGCCAAGCUUAUGGGAGGAAAGACAGGGCAUACCAGAACUGGAGAUGGCAACCUCAUGGAUGCUCUCUGCCAAGGUUUGUGUCGCCCACUCAUAAGCACUUUGUUGUGGAAAAGAGAACUGCGUUCUUCUCUCGGUCACAAUUUUGAGAUGGUAUAACUAAAUUUAGCAUGCUCUUUGCUGAUCGCUACAAAACUGCAGUCGAACUGCUCUCCUGACAGAAAAUUUUUAUUUGUCGAAUGAUUUGAAGAAUUAAUCUUGAAAAAUGAUAUAUUUACAAGUUAUUCAAUAUUUUCCACUCAAUAAGAGGAAAUCAAUUAAUCUACUAGAUAUGUCUGGUUUAUGAAAUAGUAGAGAAUUAGCCUUUUUAGCAAAGAAUUGUAACUGCUAAUAUUAAUUUUUUCACUUUUUCUCGCCUUCUUUUCGUCGCGAAUGUGAGUCACUCCAAAUUGCAAAUUAAUAUCCUCAUCAACCAAGGAAGCUAUAGUCAGGAUAAAUGAUAAUUACUAACUGAUAAUAUAAUUAGUGUAUUUUUUCAGUUUUCUAGACCGUAUUAUAUGUAUAAUCCUAUUAUAAAGCAUGAUAUCUUAGUUUAUUGACUCAUAAAGACAUGCAUUUUCUUGUGGCUGAAUACUGCUCUGAUAGUAUUGCUUUCUUUCACAGGAAAUUAAUUAAGCAGAGAGUUAGAAGGACAAAACGAGAGCUUAUUUCAAAAAAAGGAGGAGAAGAAGAAAAUAAAAAUAACAUGGAUUCUUAUAGUUGACUGAGAACAAAUGAUUACUUUAAUUUGUUUUUUCUAACCAAUAUACUGGCACCACUAAAAGCUUGCUAAAGCUUUUUUUCUUAAAGUCACUUGCUCUUAUAUGUUUAUCUUCAAAAAACCCAGCUGCAAGCUCUUGUUUAUAAGAAUCUAUCCCUGAUUUUCGUUGUUCAAUUUCCUAUCUCAGAAUUCAUGGAAUUUAUCACUGAAGGCUUACACUAACAAAUUAGCUUUUGAAAGUUUCAGAAAUAAACCGUCUUAUCCUCUUUUCUGAUUAUUCUAAUAUUAGAAACUAAGACUAACUGUGUGCUAUAUACUGUUUUCGAUUUGAUUCAAUUGCAUUUGAUCAAAAAAAUCAAGAUGUAUAGCCUCUUCUCAAAAAUAUAUAUAUAUAUAUAUUUGCUUCCAACACUAGCUGAGGCAAAUGGUAAUGAACCAAGUUUAAACUAAUUUCUCCGCUAAUUUCCUCAAGAACACUAAUCAACAUGAAAUAGCUUGAUAUAAUGUUAAAAAAAAAAACCUAUCAAAUUUUAUUAAAAAAAGUAAAACUUUUCGUCAGUAAUGGCAAAUUCUUAGUUAAUUCCAGGAACAAUCCGCUGCCUCUGACUAUAUAAGCUCUCUGCACGGGUUACAGCUUUAAUGCCACCUUUAUGCUUGAAAUGCUCCGAGGGAAGCGAAUGAUGUUCGUCGGAGACUCCUUAAAUCGGGGUCAGUUCCUCUCCAUGGUAUGUCUCCUACAGCGUGCUGUUCCAAAGGGCUUCAAAUCUAUUCAAAUCGUUGGAUCACUUACCGUCUUUAAAGCUGAGGUAAUCAACAGUCCAUUCUCCGAAAGGUGUAUUCUUACUACAAUGUCUUGAGUUGGAUUUUUCUCCUUGCUCUUAAAAUGUAGAACUACAAUGCUACGCUCAUGUUCUACUGGGCUCCUUUUCUGGUGGAAUCAAACUCUGAUAAUGCCAUCGUGCACCGGGUGAAGGAUAGAAUAGUUCGUGCCAGGUCCAUUGACAAGCACGCCCAACACUGGAAGGGAGUCGAUAUCAUGGUCUUCAACACCUAUAUGUGGUGGAUGACAGGCCAAAAGAUGAAGAUAUUGUAACGUCCUCCUCCUAUCAUCUCUCUGCAACAUUGUUUGGUUUGUUGUUUUACUCUUGGUCUUGACAGCUGCGCUUUGUAGGCGUGGGUCUUUCGACGGGGAUUUAAAGGAUAUUAAGGAGAUGGAAACAGAGCAAGCGUAUCGUUUGGCGUUGAGGAGUAUGGUGAGAUGGGUAGAGAAGAACAUGAAUCCAGGGAAGACCAGGGUCUUCUUCACGAGCAUGUCGCCUGCUCAUGAGAGGUAUUCCGCUUCUACCAUCCGCAGUCUUUGGAACGCAGUUUUUAGAGGGAAGAAUGAUGGUUAGGUCGACCGUAAGCAGGUCGGGUUGAAUUGGAUACACAGGCACGAAUCAAACCAAAUCUAUUUUGUGAAUCAGAUCAAAGAAUUAAAUCCAAACCUAAUCUAGUUCUCUUUGAGUUAGAUUAGACCGGAUUUCAUUUUAAUUUUAUCAAUCUAUCAUUUUUUUUGGAUUGAAUCUGAUAAAAGAUAAUUCCAAACAAAAAUCAUAGUAAUCAUAUAUAAAUUGAUUAUCUAGUUAUAUCAUGAGUAUCGGAUGCAAAAAAUAAUAGUAUGCAUUCUACAUAGAAUUUGAUUGAUAACCAUGCAUGAUUAUAAUGGAUAAUGUAAAUUAUUGGCAGAUUAUAUCAUAAAAAGAAGUCUAAUUUCUUAUAUUCAAGGAGGGUUUUGACAUAUAUUGUAUCUUAGUUUUGAAUCGAUGCAUAUUGCUUUCAAUUUGGAUUCUGAAUUUAAGGAUCCAAAUCCAAUCUAUAUCCAAGAUAGAUCAUAUUUUUGACUCUAAUUUGGAUUGGACUAGAUUAAUAUUAGAUCAUUUUCGAAUCAAAAGCUGGUCAAUCCGAUCUGCUUAUGGCCCUAAUGAUGGUGAGAGCGAACAACAUGACUAUCAAUGCUUUUAGGUGCCCAAGUCUAGGGCUAGUGGAUAGCUUAAGCUUCAGUCUCAACCUAGGUUGCUCGGUCCAAGGUAUGGACAUCCUAGCCCAACCCAGUCUAGCCAACCAACCCUCUUCAAUAUUUAGGCCUAUAGUUUUGUUUUGGGACUAGAAUGCCAUUUUGAAAGCUCUCAUUUCCUUGACAUUUACUAUAACCAAAAUAUUGUUGUCUAUGGAUAUCCGAGCCCAACAUGAUGUUGCCUUGCCGACCAAACCCCUCCUACAUAUGCUCUAUGGUUUUGAUGUAGCUUGGACCAGAAUAUCCAAAUGGGCCCUUAUAAUUUUUUAUUUUUUUCCUUGCAGCCCAAAUGCUAGAAUCUAGGCUAGGUUUGGAAAGGCUCUUAAAAAAGAUAAAAUAGAUGGGCCGAUAGAAUCUAAUUCCUAUAAAAUUUUCAGCCCAAUCAUGUAGAAUAUCCAAAUAGGUCCUAAAUGACAAUUAGAACAAGAGGAAUAUUGAUAUAUCUUGCACUUAUUUGUCGUAUAUAUUUAUCAAAAUAUGAUAUAUUUUCAUCAUUCACAAUACCUCGACAUCAUCCUCACAUGUAAUUUUUUAGUAUCAGCAUCUGUUUCCCCUUUUGUGAUAUAUCCGUUACAUUUUUGCAACUUGGUAUGAAUUUUUGAGUAAGACCAAAACAUAAAAUUUUUCCAAAUAAUCUUCUUUAUUAUUAAGAAUUUAAGAGCAUGACUGGCUUCUACCACUAGUGGCUCGACGUGUAACUCGAAAGACUUUGCAGGAGCAUGGAAUGGGGAGGUGAGCCAGAUGGUAAUUGUCACAACGAAACAACUCCAAUUCUCGACAACCCAGCAUACUGGGGAUUUGCUUCUAGUAAAAGCAUAAUGCAAGUUGUCAAGAAAGUUUUAAGCAAAUCAAAAGUUCCCAUCAUGGUUCUGAACAUCACCCAACUCUCAGAGUAUCGCAAGGAUGCACAUACCUCGAUUUACAAGAAGCAGUGGAAUAAGUUGACACCUGAGCAAUUGGCAAACCCUAGAAGCUAUGCUGAUUGUGUCCACUGGUGUUUGCCUGGCCUACAAGAUACUUGGAAUGAGCUUUUGUACACCAAGCUCUUUUUUCCUUAAGAGCAAACAUUUAUGUAUGAAGGGUUAUAUUUUAAUGACCAUAACCCAAGUUCCCUUUUCUUCUAAACUGAUCAUUCUUUUUCUUUCUUUCUUAUAUCCUAUGUUAACAUCCAUAAUCUUGUGCUCAAUGUUAAUUUGAUAGUCAUAAAUUGUUGAUAAAUCGAAAAAGAAACUGUAGAACUGAUCAACCCUGCCUUCGACCUGUGCCUCAAUUGCAAUCAACCUCUUCAAUGACUGAGGGAUUGCAACUUUGUUUCCUUCGGCUACAACUCUUAUUCAACCUCUGCUUACUAUCAUCUGCUAAGUCUCGAGCUUCAGCCAUUAUCAAGAAACUAUAUAGUGUUGCUGAGUUGAGAGAAUGAAAGAAUAUUUCUUAAUAGAAAUUUCUUAGCAGAAUAGGCUUUUCUUAUGUUGGUGGUAGCGGUGUUGCUUGGAGAAAAAAAACUCUUACUCGACGGAAGAAAAGGGACUUUGCAAGAUAAUGCAUAACUCUAGAAUGUUCCUUAACAAAAACUUAAUGGAACAAAAGGUGUUUUGAAGUUGGCUUGCUUUUCAAAAAAUGACAAUCUUUUUUUUUUUUGUUCUGGCUUAUACACAACUAACAUAUUGUUAUCUUCUUUGCUUUCUCAUGGGUUUGUUUGGUUACAACUGACAUCUGCAGUUCUGAUCUGACAAACUCUCUACUUCCUGUAACUCAUCCUCUCUGUAAUUACCAAUUUUUUUAAUAAAGUCUUGGGUGGCUUUUGCCUCCCUUAGUGUCCAAAAAGAUAAAUCAAGAAAAUUAUAGAUGUUAUGUGGAAGCUUUUUCUCUAGCAUAAAUCAUUAUAAUGCCUUUGUAACAACAAGUUCUUUCUCCAAUCAAUUUGCACAACUAGAAACGAAAGAUAUUAGUGAAGCAAGUUUAGUCUAAAUUGAUGUAAAUUUAAAUUUAAAAUAUUUAUUUUUAUGAAAAUAACUAAAUUUAAAUGAAAAAUAUUUGAUUGUUGUAUCAUCAGCAUAUUAAAUAGAUGAAUUUAAAAACUCCGCGCAAAAUUUUUAAUCAAUAUGAUUGUAAUUUCUGACCUUGUCCUUCUUUCUGUUUUCCAAUCCCUUACUUCUCUUGGCUCUUCUAUGAAACUUUAAAAUAGGGCCUGGUUGGCAAUUAGACAACUGCUUCAGGUUUUCUGAGCAAUUAUCUCGUAACAUGUAACGUAAGUUGGAAGGUUUUGCCAACUUACAAAUUUGGGAUUGCAAGAUGAUUACAUGUUCCUUGAGGGGUCUUUAGUAAUUUUUUGUGAUAUACGGGAGUCCCUAGCGCUACCGCUAGCACCAGCCGGUUUCAUUUGAAACAUGUAAAUUUAGAACUGAUAGAUGACUAAAAUACUAUUUAGGUGCUUCCAAGCAAUUCCCUCAUAAGUCGCCGCAACCUGCCGACUUUUCUGGGUACUUGUAGAGUUUGCCGCUUUACAUAGCACUUGUAAAUGUCGGACUUCAAUGUAAUUAUAAUUCUGAUUAGGGUCUCUAAAUAAUUUUCCCAUAACUUUUCCGUUUCGCACCCAAGAAGAAAAUGGUCUCCCCUAGUUCUCCUUCAUUUUCUUCUCCUCCAGUCCGUGAGCCUUAUCCAUUAACUCCUUCCUUUCCACAAACCCUAGCCUCUGGCUUUUCCACAAAUCACCGAGCUCUGCCUCUUCUAAAAUGGUCUAGUGUCCGAUGAGAUAUCGCUUGUCGCUUUCGAAGCCACCGUGUUCUUUGGAUCUUCUACUCACUCCCUUCGAAUUAAACAAGAUAUUUACUCUUGAUGCUCCAAAUUCUCUUUCUUUGCAAUCUAAAAGGAAAAAAGUUUUUUUUUUUCUUCAUCAACUUCUUGCUAUUUUUUAUAGAGUUUGAUAUUUGAACUUAUCGAAGCUUUCAAUUUAGAGUGCUUCCGUAGGCUUCUUUCCUCGAAGAGUUGCCGUAUAGCAUUGAUAAGCCAUAUCCUUAAAUAUCUUGACCAAAUGCUGGUUAGUAGCUCCAGCAUUCUUUAAUCGGUAUGAUCUUGUAGCAGUAUAACCCUUUAUUAGAACUGAUGUCAAUGUAAGGACCCACAUUUUUUGGUGGGCUUGGGCCGGCCCGACACAUGAAACGGGAGGGAGACUCCCGAACAGAGUCUUCCCUCCCCUAUUUCAAUUGCUUCCUGAAUCCACCGGAAGAGGAAAAAAAAACAGAGGAAAAGGGAGAUCAAAUCCUACCUAAUUUGCAUCAAUCUCUAUCUAUACAAGAAUCUAUUCCUCUCCUCCUAGGGCAUCAAGCGAGAGCUCUUUCAAAAAAAGAGAGAGAGAGAGAGAGAGAUCUGUGAGAAGCUUGGGUUAUUCGCCGUCGCGCUUGCUGGAGGAGCUCGCUGGAGGUGAGAUGAGGUCUCUCUCCUUCCUCUCUCUUAGCCGCAGGCCACUAUUCUUUGGGAAUAUGGCCGGUAAGCCGCCGGAUUGAGGAAACCCGAACCUGCUCUCGGUGGCUUGGUCCCUUCUUCCGUUCAGCCGGCCGUCGUCGGGCAUGGCGCACCGCCACGGUCUGACGACCAUGGGGCAUCGCCGGCCGUGGGCUGCUUGCUGCCGAGCAUCUUCGCCCUUUCCAUCGGGAAGAAUGAAGAAGGGAGAGAGAGAAAGGGAGAUUUCUUCUCUUCCCUUUCCCUUUUCUUAUUAUAUGUUUUUCUUCUUCUCUCUCUAGUUGGGGGUUCUCUCCCUAACCUUGGAUCUGGGAAGAUCAUUGUUUUGAGGGUUCUGGAUUAUCAUCUAUCUUGGAUGAUUUUUUUUAAUGAUGACUUGGUUAUGUAGGGGAACAAUCUGUUGGACAAGAGGACAUUGAGUGGAGUUCUGCGCAUUCCAGUCCCUAGAUCGCCGUGAGGGCGAGUGAAUAGUUUGUCUGAGUUUUUCAAUAAGGGUAGGAAUUCUUGUACGCCAACCUACAUGAUAUAAAUACUUUUGUACCAUAUAUGUAUGAUAUGCUAUGAUCCAGAUAAGUUAGAAGUAUAAAUAGUUUUAUAUUAAAUUGUAUUUUGAUCGUAUGGACUUGUGAUUGGUAUUAUGAUGGAUGCAUGUAUGCGUAUAACCUAUACCUACAUAAUUGGAUUUAUGGAUGUGGUGGUAUGGACUAACCAUGUUAUAUUGAUUGCCCUAUCAUGGGCUGGAAACGUGACCAGAGGUCAGAAAUGUGAUAUUAUCGAUUGCCCCAUCAUAGGCUGGAAAUGUGAUACUAUCGAUUGCCCCGUCACAUGCUGGAAACGUGAUACUAUCGAUUGCCCCGUCACGGGCCGGAAAUAUGAUACUAUCGAUUGCCCCGUCACGGGCUGGAAAUGUGAUACUAUCGAUUGCCCUGUCACAGGCUGGAAAUGUGAUACUAUCGAUUGCCCCGUCACAGGCUGGAAAUGUGAUACUAUCGAUUGCCCCGUCACGGGCCAGAAACGUGACCGGGAUAUAGCCCAAAGUCAGAAAGAUAAUUGAUCCAGAUCAAGUUAACAUAGAAUGGAAAGAAAAGGCAUUGAAAAUAGUAAUAAAGAUUUAUGAGCUAUCAUAUGCUAUAUCAUUCAUGUGUGGCUGGACUUUCAUUGAUGUUUGACGUACAUACUUAUAUUGAUUAUUUGAGCAUUUUGGAAACCGUUUAUGAUUUCAUGAAAUGUGCAUCGAUUUGUCGUGGUUUUUCGAAUUCAUAUUACUAUUGUGUUGGUAUGGAUGUGUGGGGUUCUUACUGGGUUGUAAAGCUCACCCCCCUUCUUCUUUUUCUUUUCAGAGUUGCAGGAUGCAUAGAUAUGGAUAGGUUGGGCACGGAGCGCGAGUAUCAAAAUCAUUAGCUUGUUAGUUAGUUUAUCUUUUUUUGAUGUCAAUAAAUAUUUGAAGAUCUUGUAAUUGAACCAAAUUGAUUAUCUGGAUAUGUUGGAUUUGUCAAUUUGAAUAAAUUAAUUAGUUGUGAACUUAUUGGAUUUUUGUUUAUCUUAGGCCUUGCAUGAUCUUUAGGAUACUACUCUAGGGUCCAUGCGGCCGGUCGCGUACCGAUCUCAGGUUCUGAGUUCGGGACGUGACAGUCAAUGAGUUGUUGGCCGUUUUUUGUAUGGUCAUCAAUUCACUGUAUAAGUGUUAGUCUCUUUUUGUUACAAGACUCCCAAAGUAUUUCAAUUGAAUGCUCUUUAAUAUCUCUAUGAAAGUGCUGACAUGAUAGACAUUAUCAUUUGGCUAGGGAGGGGUUUAGGUAAGAGAUUAAAACUUACUAUUGUUUCAUAAAGCAGAGCGUUUUAGAGUGAAAAAAAUAAUGUUCAUUGCUUAGCGCUUUCGAACCUAAAAAUCUAAACUAGCUUAAUUGUUUAAACCCCACUGUUUAACCGUCCUUGCCUCUGGGAGAUGAGCUCUGAAUCCAUUAUCUAUUGUAAAUUAGCAAUGAGCACAAACCACCACGUGAAAUUUUUUUAAUGCAUAUUGGUUUGAAGCAUUAACUUUAUUUUGGGAACACCAAAAGUGAAGCCACUCAAAAAGAGCUGCACCAUGCCAUUCUAUUGUAAAUGAUUCAAAGCAUGUGGCUAAAGGAUGGUAGUGAUAGGUUUUUAUUUGUUGCAAGUUUUACGUACAUGGUCAAAAGAGAUCAAGUUGCUGUCUCGUGGGUGCAGAGAUCCUUUUGGUGCAUCUAUAUUGAUAGAUCUAAGGUGGGACAACUUCCUUGAAACUAGUCGUAGAUCCCCAAUUGUAGUUGUCCUGGUGCUCGUCAACGUUGGCAGAUGCAACCAAGAGUGGGCGCCAAGCUUGACUAAAGAGAGCAGAGCAGGGCAUCCAAGCAGAUCAAAAGCAGGGACCAUAACUUAGCCAUUUCCUUCUCCAAUAAAGUUGCACUUAAAGUGGAAACAGGAAAAGAUCAAGUGGAGCCACCAUAUGUCUCUUAGAUUUUGAUCUAUCCUGGAAUUUUAAGCCUUUUUCCUUGACAUUAUAAAUGUAUAAGUUUUAUCCUAUGCUAUGAUGCUAGGUAGGCUACAUAUAUAUAUAUAUAUAUAUAUAUAUAUAUAUAUAUAGAGAGAGAGAGAGAGAGAGAGAGAGAGAGAGAGANNNNNNNNNNNNNNNNNNNNGAGAGAGAGAGACCUCUAAGUUCAUUGGAUAUGAAAUGGGAAACAGAAAUACAAAGCAGUUACAUGGCUACAAGCCUACAAGUCUGAAUUGGUCCCAAUGGACCAUGCAAUUCUUUAAUCCAUAGUUCAACUACAAUUAGCAGUUUGUUUGCUUAUAGAUGAUUAAUUUGAUAAGCAUUUACUUGAGCCUCCAUCAUUGUGGACAACCUAAUAUUGCUUAGGAGUACCUAGAAGGUUGGCACUUCUAUUUUUUGAGAAAAAGGAAAGAGAAAAAUGAGGUUCACACUUCACCCAAAAAAAAUUCAUGCUAGCAUGGCAAUAAUGUCUGAAUGCGGAUGCUAUGCCAGGAUAUUCAGGAGAGGUUGACAGAGAAAAUCUUCCUCUCAGAAUAGUAUAAGUCUACUAGAAAAUUCAAGGGGGAAAUAAAGUUCUUAACCUUAUGCAGCAAAUCCAAUAAUCAUGGGAUUGCAUUUCUUGAAGUACAUAACAUACCAAUAUCUUACCGUUGAUUUCUUCUUUUGUCUUCGCUCGAGCAUCUCCAUGACCUAAUUUACAUCAAAUCCUAUGCAACAUAUCAGAUGUUGAAUCUAAAAAGUGUGCAGCUGACCAGUUAUCAUGUUCGACAAGACCAAGUUUGUUCUUUCUUCUACUCAUUGAUCAUCUAUUUGUGCUCCUCAAGGAGGGCUCUUCUAGUUAAGUGUUUGUAGUAGGCCACCAGUGGUUUGCUCUGACUAACCUUGUAUCAAUGGCAAACCCAAAACAGAAUAUUUAUGUACUUUAGCAUAGGCUAAGAUAAUGUUAGAAGAUGUUAAUUAACUGAAAAUAAGAAACUCCAUUUUAGAUGACUUCAGCACAUAAGAUCUGAUUUUUUGGAGAACAAUGGUAAGAGCUAUCACUGAUCAGCUCAAAGAUAUGACGUGUUGCUUCAGCAUAUAGUUCAUUAUAGUGAAAUUAUUACACAUUGAAUUACCACCGGUUGACCCUCAUUUAUAUUCUCGAGAAAGUGCACUAGAAUAUGAGGUAUGUUGACUUUUUUUUGGAUGUAUCCGUACCCGAUUUGUAUGAACCAUCCAUUUAGCAAACGAAAAAAACAUGAGGUAUGUUCAGCAAGAAAAGCCAUGUAAUUGAUGCCUCUGAGCUCCAUUUCUAAGACCGACUACUUCAUUGCAUUUGUGCUCAUAAAGCAUGAGAGAUACAGCUGAUCUUAGCCUAAUUGUAAUGUGAUGGCUACAAUUUGCUAGCGUCGUUGUACAUAUUGUUGUUACCAUCAUUUGAUGCAACACUUCAGAAGGUUCUGUUCCUGAAUACAUUGAAGUUUUUAGUAAUUUCAGAGAACCAAUCAAUAGUUAUAUCUCAUAAUCAGCCAUAGAGAAGUUCAGACUUGGAUAUAUCAGCAGUUGUUUAUGUGUGUUUAUUAUUGGAGAAUGGUUUCACCUUCACAGCAAUGGGCAAAAUGGGUAUUCUAAAAUAGCAAAUGGAGAGGGUGGGGCUACAGGAGUUGCUAUCAGCAGUUGUCCACGUCAAAGAUUGAAUACUUCAAGAUUGUUAAGAGUCGCUGUAAAACUCAAAAUUUGACAAAGAGAAUCUGACUUGAUCAAAGGAUUUUAAUAACUCUUUAAUCGCAUGGAUCACGGUAAGCUUGGAAACUUGGUGCUGACUGAGACCAAGUUAAAUUGGUGUUGAAUGAUCUCCAGUCAAUGCAACUUAUCUGAUAAUGUAUUGAAUUAUGCAAUUUUUACUGCAUUAGUUUGGUUAAAUAAACAGAACAAUCAAUAGUAUCAUAAGACCGAAAGCAGCAUUGGUUUCUUCAUCAGUUCUCCUCCUUUGAGACUGAAUCCACUCUUCACCUACCCUGGCAAUCCCCAUGUUGCUCCUUCUAAGUAGCAAAAAUAUCAUUUCCAGGUAAGGCACCUUGAAUUUUCUUUUGAAUGCAACAAAUAGCAGACAAAUGAGUAAUUUUUAUGCGAGACAGACCAUUAGUUCUCUUCUUUCAGAGCAUCCAUCCAUUGUCUAAGUUGAUCUGAGAAUUUCUGUGUCUUUGGAUCAAAUUGCGCACCUAUGUUUUCCACUGAGGACUGACACUUGGAUUCCCUUUCUUUUUAGAGGACACUAGAGUUGAUCCUCCCUCUCUCUGGCCUUUAUGCUCAAGUUCGCUGCUAAACUGAAGUUUGCGUAGGAUGAACCGGGGGCCAGUGAUAGCCAAGAAUAUUUUUGGCGGUGAAUGACUGUGCGGUCAAUUUGAAGAGAGGGCUUGGAACGUGACCCACGGAGAGGGUUGUGGCGAGAAAAAUGGGUGGGACGAGAGAAGGUUUUAUGAUAAACAGGAGACCACGGGGAUCUAUUAAAGGCUGCCUUACCAACUUGCAGCGCAACUUGCAAACCAUGCCAGCCAUUAUUCAAAUUGAAACAGUACGCAAGGGAAGAAAAAAUAAGAAGAGAGAGACGGGAACUUAAGCUUGUCAAUAGAAAAGGCCCCCAACUUGCCUUUCUUUUAAGAAAGUAGGGGACAAGUUGGGAGUUAUCAAGAACAAGUUGCACGGCCAGCAUCGCCGAUCUCCCAUCGAUAGAAAGAUGCACUUAUGGUGGUUCAUGCGUCUCCAUGCAUAACAUUGACAGGGGAGAAUGUCAUAUAUAUAUAUAUAUAUAUACACACACACACAUAUAUGCAUAUAUGCAUAUAUACAUAUAUAUAUUUAUGUAUAGAGAGAGGCACAGAGAGUUUUCUGACCUUCAAAUUUUAUUACUUGGAAACUUUAUUCAGAACAAUACGGGUAAACAUUCAUACAUAUAUGAUCAGGACUAUCAUUUGGUCACAAACGGGCAGUGAUUAUAUAUAUAUAUAUUGGGAGGGGGAGGGGGGGGGGGGCGAAUAUUUAUAUUAAUAAACAACCACCAGACAUAUUUGCUGAUGAUCAUUAAAAAUUAUUUUCCAGCCAUUCUUUCUCUAUCAAAUGCACUGGCAAGGUUGCAUUUGUAUGACAUCAUUGAUUUGAUAAUAGCUCAAGGAUCCCGAAGACCUGCAUAAAAAAGGCCUAUUUGUUGGAGAAUCCAGAGAUGUGAUUUAGUUUUAUAGCCAAUAUUCGUCCAAGUAAUAAUAAAUUUAGUCGAUUCUUGUAUUAGAAAUGAUGAGAAAAAGGAGAAAAAGAUGGUGGUAGAGUAUUAAACUCAUGCAUAUAUAUUAUGUAGAACCAGAGAGGCCAGCAAAGCAAUCAAACCAAUUGAGAAGCCAACUUUAGCACCCUGACUAAUUUACUAACAUAGGCUCCUUGGAGUAAAAGGUUUAAUGCUCUCCAAAACAGCUGCCAUCUUUGAGCCAAAAGAGAGGACGUUCUAUAACAUUUUUUCAUGGUUCAAUGUAACCAGGCAGCCCCCUUCAAGUUCUGGCAGUUUUCAGCCACAGUUUUAUUCUAAUGCAACUCCAUGGCUCUAAUAGGCCACUAUCUUCACACUCUCAUUUGUAAAUCUUAGUAAAAAAAGUUGUUAUAAUCGAAUGCAGCAUCCAUCGCAUGUUGCACCUUGGAUCACACAUAUAAUCAAAAAGAUAACCUUGCUUUAAAAGACAAGUAUGAACAAAUUAGAGAUUGUACCAAAAAAAAAAAAAAUUAAGAGAGAGAAAGAGAGUGAGUGGGGACAUUAUUCACAAUAGUCUAUAGUACUUGUAUCCUUAAAAAAGAGAGAAAAAUAAAAAUCAAAGAGAGAAAAAGGGGAAGAAGAACGGGAAAAAAAGAAAGGAAAGAAGGAGAGGGAGAAACGAAGGGCAUGGCUAUGCGGUACAACGUAGUCGUCGUCCCAUUCCAAGUGGGUGGGCGCGGUGGUCCCCGCGCCCGGGGACGAGCCCCAGGAGACGAGGAAAAACCAAACGAUCCAGCUUGCAAAAAAAGAAGCCCCCGCACCCGGACUUAAUUACGAGUCUGCCCACCGUCGGCGGCGCCGCGCCGGGCGAGGCUCUCGGCGGUGCGAGCCAGCGACUGGAGGUUGCACUUGACGAUGGUGUCCACGAAGACCUGCGUGUCCUCCGUCGUGUUCCCCGCCGGCACGUCGACCACGUACGAUUCCACCACCACGGUCCCCCCGCCGGCCGCGUGGAGGGUGGUCACAGACCGGUAGUUCGCCAGCCUGUGCUCGCCGCCGACGACCCGGAAGCUGAGAACGUGGCUCUCGUCGUCGAGGAUCUCGAGGCGCUCGGUGCUGGUCACCGCCGGGAGGCCGGAGAUCACCUGGACCUCGCGGAGGGUGCCGACGUCGCCGUCGCCGACGAGGACGUGGCAGCUCUUGACGAAGUGCUUGUAGACCUGGGGCUUGUCGAAGCGGCGGACCACCGACCACACCGUCGGCACGGGGGCGGCGAUGGCCUGUACCACGGCGGAGCAGCACUGCCGCGGCCCCACCGCGUGCUCGUGAUGCCUCGCCACCUCCUCCGGCACCGCGUGCGCCGUGCACCGCUCCCCCGCAACCGUCUUGCCGCCGGCAAUCGCCCCCUGGGUCAUGUUGCUUCCGUUGGUGACACCGCCGCCGGGUGUGGUGCUGAGCCUCUGGUGUUGGACGCAGGACUUCGGAAGAGGAGCGCAAGGCAUUACUCGGUACGACGGAGAGAUGGUUAUCGAGUUUGCUUGGGGAGGUUUGUAUACAUAGUGAUGCGUUGGAAAAGUAUGGGGUUAGACGAUAUUAAUUUAUCUAAUGAUUUUUUUAUUGGAUUCAAGGUUUAUUAUUGUUGGUUGCAGUGCAAAUUGAGCAAUUGGGGGGGGGUAUUUUGGCCGGGUUUCCAAGGGGGUUUUUGUAAUGCGGAAAGUGGGGAGGAAGGGGAAGAGGGGGGUGGUUGGAUUAAUUAAAAUUAAAGAGAUUGAUGUUUGUGAGUGAUAAAAUAAAGGAGCAAGUUGUUGGUUGGACGCUAGCAUAACUUACCAUUUCACCUUUGAUUAUUAUUUUUUAUCUUUUUUGAAUUCUGAAUUUUGUUUUUUAUUAUGUUGAAAUUAUGGCUAUGAAUUAUGGCUCUACUUAUCUGGAAAUUAUUUUAUUUGGUAUAAGCAUUGUUCAUUCUAUCUAUUAGGCUUUAAUUGUAAAUAGAGGUUUUUUUCAGCAAAAAAAAAUAAUAGAGAGAGGUUUUGGAUAUGGAUGAAUUAUUAUAGCAUCUUUCUUGAACAUGUGGACUUGAUGAAAAAUGCUAGGUUAUGAAUACAUCAGAUAUCUCAAUACUGGUUAUUACUGAGAUGAUAGUUGCCUAUAUUCUUGUCAUAUACAAAUUUAGUUAGUGCUUCAGUUGUUGUCCUACGUGGGUUAUGGCUCGUCCACGUAGAAAAGUCUCAUAAUGGAUAAUGUAAAUAUCUAAUAAGCUCAUCUCUGUCCUUUCUUGUAUGGCUUGUCACUAAAAUAUAUCUAGUAAAGUUCUGUCCUUCUCGAUAUCAACUAUCCAAAGAUAAAAAAUUAUAGUGCUAAUUGUUAUCUCAAUUUGUCUAUGAUAUGCAUAAUAAAGCUACUCCUUUUUUGAAAAAUAUGAAGCCUAUGGAUCGAGGAUCGUAAAUAUGCCAGAUUGAUCAAGUCAACCAAAUACAUAUGGUCAAUCAAGAAAAAAAAUAGAUUCUUUAGUGGAAGAACUUAAUUAAUUUUUUAAUAAGAUACAAAUAUUGCAAAAAGGAGAAAACACUAAAAGGGAAUUAAUAACUCACAAGUAAAGAAACACAGCAAAGAGAUUAAAGCUGUUUGACUCUUUGGUGGCUGAAUCAUAAUUUUUUUAGUUAAAGAUUAGUCAUACUCUGCCUCAUUCUCAUAUAGAUUCAAAAUUACUCCCGAAAAUGUAGCAAAACAUUGUAUCAUAAAUCAUUUGCACAUUUUAAUAUUCCUCUUAGUACCGAUCUUGGUUUAGACAGACUAGAGCAAUGUAGGUUCUUUUUUAGCCUCAAAGAAAAGGACUUAAUAUUGCUAAAUGAUUAUUAUAAAGAAAAUAGAGAGAGAGAGAGUAAAUGGGUUUGAUCGAUAUGAUUUUGAUUCAAUAUAUAUGUAGACAAACUAAAGAUCUAACCAUGACAAUAUAGAGUAACUCGGUUCAUUUGCUUGUAAGCAAGACUCAAGACGCUUUCUUGACGAUGAGUGACUUAUUUACCAUCGAGGAAGAUUUUGAACCUUGAAAUUUAGAACAAGGCACAGUAUACUCUAUAGGAUAUUGGAUUGAGGUAUAGCGAUGCAUGGGAUUGAUAGAAGUGUUGUUGUAUUGUUGAAGUUGAGAAAGAGCCUCCAUGAAAUCUUCUUACUUCCUUUUAUCAUGAAAGAGGAAGUUAUUUCCGGCUAUAACUUUUCCUCAAGUGACUAAAUAUAGUCUUUCCAAGUAUUAUGUAAAAAUUAAUUAAUUAGACUUUACUCGAUCUAAUAAUUUUUAUCAUUUUUUCAGUUGGUAGAUGCCCGAUUAAUUUAUGAGUGUAAACAAAUAUUACAAUACAAACGCUAGGUGCAUGUCCACCCUAAAGUUUGACCCUUCUCUCCUCGAAUGUCCAUUGUAAACAUACAAUAUCCCUUAAGAAGCAGAGUCUAUUUUGGAGUUGUUUGGGUGCUCAACAUGCAUCUUAGCACAACAUGAGCUACAUCUAAGGUUGAUGAGAUUCUCUAGCUGGCCGGGCAUCAUCUGACUAUCUAGCAACGUGCGGCCACUAGGGAUUGCAGCGGAUUAGGUACGGGUCAGAUAGGCUAUUAUCCAUAUCAUUUCGGUGCAAAGUGGGGCAGGUAGAGUUAUACAGGAUAAGUUGGACAAUAUGGAUCAAAUAAAGCUGCAAAUUUUUUUUACAUAUUAAUCAAAUAAAUAAAUAAAAUAAAAAUAAACUUUGAUGCUUCAUAUAAUAUUAGAUAAAAUAAAAAUUAAAUACAUAAAACAUAACAAACUAAAUUUUUAACAAUAAUAGAAACAUAGCAAAUAAAAUUAUUUGAGAAGUCAAAUAUCUCAUGAACUAAGAAAGCAAAUAACUAAAAUAAUAAGCAGCUAAGCAUCAUGGCAUAUAACCUUUUAUAUGUUCAUUUUUUUCCUCCUGAGUGGAGCGACUAGAGAAAACAAUGAAGAAAAAAUUUGUGAAGAGUAAUUUAUAUCUGAGUCGGGAUUGGAACAGAUUUUAGCAUUUUCCACACCCAUCACAGAUCCACUGUGAGUUAGAUAAAACUCAUUCGAUUAGGAUCAGGUUAGGUCUGAGUACCCAACAAGGUGAAGUAAAUUGCCAUCCCUAAUGGCCACAAGCUUACUGUGGACGGCUAGGGCCAGAGAACCCGUCAAUCAAUUAGCUGGCCAAAACCAUGCAUAAAAAGCUUCGACUUUCUAAGGAUCCAGGCUAAUACAACUAAUUAGCCAAGGCCUAGCUUGGAACUUUCUGAUUCCUCUAUAGUGUUCCAUUUGUUGUGUAAAACGACCGAAUAAAGAUACACCUUUACAAUGCAGGUGAAAUGCCAAUCGAAGGCAUCCUCUGCAGUCACUGAUCGACAAAAGAUCCCAAGCCAAAAGAGGAAUUAUUGGAUGGACUAGGUCCAAUGGACCAGUCCAAAUCUAGAGGCAUGUGUAUGAUGAUAAUAGAAUGAAUUGUCAUCCCAAUUUUGAUUUUGAUCUUAUUUUUAUUUUUUUUUGGUACAAUGGCGGCUCACACAUAACGAGUGUGGAUGCGACCAACAAAAUCAGAAAACAAAAGGCUACAUAAAGGUCCUGGUACGGACCCACUGUCCAACCAGACAAACCUACAAAAGUGAUAAGCUGCAAAGGAGACAAUCCAAAAUUUUGAACUGUUUAAAUACAAGAGGGGGUAACAUGGUGAGUGCCUAUUGAACUGGUUCACUUAGCCUAGUCCAUCUAAUAAUUUCUCGCCACAGCCACACGUGAUGAAAGGAACAUUCUAAGAAGGAGAUGCACAUGACCAACAAUUCAGAAAAUAGAAAAUUUGCUUCUUGUGAUCACCAACGGGUUGACAACUAUUACUUAAUUAGACUUUACUCAAUCUAAUAUUUCGCAUCAUAUUUUCAGUUGGUAGAUGACCAAUUAAUUUAUGAGUGUAAACAAAUUUUACAAUACAAACGCUAGGUACAUGUCCACCCUAAAGUUUGACCCCUCUCUCCUCGAAUGUCCAUUGUAAGCAUACAACAUACCUUGAGAAGCAGAGUCUGUUUUGGAGUUGUUUGGGUGCUCAACGUGCAUCUUAGCACAACAUGGGCCACAUCUAAAGUUGAUGAGAUUCUUUAGCUGGCCGGGCUUCAUCUGACCAUCUAGCAACGUGUGGCCACUAAGGAUUACAGUAGAUCAGGUAUGGAUCAGAUAGGCCAUUAUUCAUAUCAGCUUUGUGCUCAUCUCGGUGCAGUGUGGGACAGGUAGAGUUAUACAGGGUAGGUUGGAUAAAAUGGAUCAAAUAAAACUGCAAAAUUUUUUUUUUUACAUAUAAACCAAACAAAUAAAAAUAUAAAAAUAAACUUUAGUGCUUUAUAAAAUAUUAGACAAAAUAAAAAUCAAACACAUAAAACAUAACAAACUAAAUUUUCAAUAAUAAUAUAAACAUAGCAAAUAAAAUUAUUUGAAAAAUUAAAUAUUCCAUAAACUAAGAAAAGCAAACAACUAAAAAAAUGAACAGCUAAGCAUCAUGUCGUGCAACUUUUUAUAUACUCAAUUUUUCUUGCGAGUAGAGUGACUAGAGAAAACAAUGAAGAGAAAAUUUAGAAAAAGUAGUGUAUAUCUGAAUCAGAAUUGGAGCAGAUUUUAUCACUAUCCACACCCACCACAGAUCUACUGCGAGUUGGAUAAAACUCAUUCUAUUAGGAUCAGGUUAGAUCUGAGUACUCAACAAAGUGAAGUAUGGCCACAAGCUUACUGUGGAUGGCUAGGGCCAGGGAACCGUCAAUCAAUUCGCUCGCCAAAGCCAUGCAUAAAAAGAUUCGACUUUCCAAGGAUCCAGGCUAAUACAACUAAUUAAGCAAGGCCUAGCUUGGAACGUUCCGAUUCCUCUAUAGUGUCCCAUUUGUCGUGUAAAACGACCUAAUUAGGAUACACUUUCGCAAUGCGGGUGAAAUGCCGAUCCAAGGCAUCCUCUGUAGUCACUAAUCGACAAAAGAUGGACCGGUCCAAAUCUCGAGGCAUGUAUAUGAUGAUAAUAGAAUGAAAUUCUCACUCCUGUUUUGAUUUUGAAUUGUUUAAAUACAAGAGGUGUGACAUGGUGAGUGACUAUUGGACUGGUCCACUUGGCCUGGUCCAUCCAAUAAUUUCCCGAGCCACGGCCACACGUGAUGAAAGGAACGUCCUGAGAUGGAGAUGGACAUGGACCAGCAAUUCAGAAAAAAGAAAUUUGCUUCUUGUGAUCACCAACGGGUUGACAACAACAUGAUCAUUGACAACCCUUGGGAGACGCGGGCUAGCUCCAAAUAAGUAGCCUUUCUCGAGAUAUUGAAUCCGGCAUCUCACUAUAUUCAGCCAUAAGUACAUCCGAAUCUCUCUCAAGAAAAACUCGUCGAGCACUCAGAUACAUUCUGGCCUGAAUGAGGCCCUCUAUGGCGGGCUUUUAAGAUGCCUAUUUCAGUUAAAGUUAUUUUUGCUUGUAGUUUGAACGAUUUUCAUGAAUCGAGUUUCUAUUAGAUAACGAUGGGUUCGCCGUGCCCACCCCCUCUUCUUCUCAAGAUGGAAAUUUCUAGUAGGCACAAGGAGGUGACUCAAACUCUUUUACAAUUCUAAUUGUAAGACAUCCUUAUUAACAAAGUAUUUGUUGUCAGCAGGAAGAAGCUCUAAGAAAAUUGGCUGCGAAAUCUGUCACAUACCCAUUUUAUUUCCUAUGACUUGGGAUCCACUCUUGGAGGUGACCCGUUCCCCUUUAGCUAUAGAAGUUUGAAACUGACCUUGGGCCAAACUCCGCUUGAAUCGGCCCACAGCGUUGUUGCACGAGACUCUGGAACAACCUAGACCAGGCCGGCACUACAAAAAAUGGCAAGCCCAAUAGUCACCAACUUAGCCAGAUUCUCAUGAAGCGUUGAUCUGGUAAUGAAGUGGUAUCCCUUGUAUAGCCGAUAUCCUUCUUUGUAUCAAUUAGCAGUAUUGGGAAAUGGGAACCCUAAUACGAUACAUGAUGAAUCUUGGUCCUCAAUAAUUAGGUUAAAAAACAAGAAAGAAGAGUAUCAAAGUAUUAAGCUAUAUGAUAUACAAUAACAUCAGUUGAUAUAUUCAAUUACCCUUUUUAUUUUUAAGUAUAAUUUUAAUUAAAACAUUUAUAUCAACAUCUUCGUACAUAGUUGCUAAUCUUGGAAUUGCCAUAUCAUCUCAGACUUUGAUAAAUUAUCCUGAAAUAUCUGCCAAGGUCUUAUUCCUUUCGACUUGUCCGAUGUUCCAUAUUGGCCAAGAUAAACCAAGUUUUAGAUUCAUAUUGAUUUUGGGGGCAUCCAUAAUACCUCUAAUCCAUGGCCUUAUAUUAUAAACAAGCACAAAUACCAUUACAUCCUCCUUAAUUUAAGUAUAAAAAGCCAAUACUUGAGCACACCCAGAAUAUAUAGGCUGGACCCGGAAGCCCUUAGAGCCGGGAUAUCCUGGGAUGAAGAUAUCCACGUAAUCCAUGCUCCUGUAUAGAGCCGGAAGGAAUUUGGAAUUCCAGUUUUGUCUCCAGGGCAGGAGAUAGAAAAGGCGCGUUUUAUGGAGGAGGGAGUGUUUAUUUAUCACCGUGGGAGGGAAGCUCCGAACCUGCGGUUCGCGCGGCGCGUUUGCCGGUUUCGCCUCGCCCUCUCUCUCCCCUCUCAGAACCUGGCGAAAGGGGAACCGUGGGAUUUUACGGGAGCAUUUUUUCGGGGGGCUUAGGGAUCCCCAUUCGCCCAUUCUCCUUCCCCUUCUUUAGAUUUUGCUCUGUGUCUUCGAAGCACAAAAAACAUGAGAAAUCAGGGAGAAGAAGAGCUAGAUUCGGUUGUCUUUCUGUGAGAAAUCUCUCUCUCUCUCUCUCUCUCUCUCUCUCUCUCUCUCUCUCUCUCNNNNNNNNNNNNNNNNNNNNCUCUCUCUCUCUCUCUCUCUCUCUCUCUCUCUCUCUCUCUCUUCUGCCUCUUUUUCCAUGUGAGUAUCCCACCUAUGUCGUUUCAGUACGCUCGUCUAUUUCUUAUAUUUGAUGAUGUGGGUGCGUUUUUAUAUAAAAGAUUCGAUUUUGACAUCGAUUUCACCAUCUGUUUAUCAGUGGGACUUUUUUUCACCAACAGUUUUGAUUUUGAUCGGUUUUCUGAGGUGAGGGGGCUUGUAGAUUGUUUUUCUGGAUGGCAUUCAUCCUUUGGUUCUGUAGUUCUCCUCGGUUUGUUGAGCGAGACUUGCUUUCUUAUGCGGAAGAAAGCUAAUUAUUUGGUCUAAUGUCCGAAUUUUUCCCCCUAAUUUUUUGAAUGGUUUGUUGGCCUGGCAUUUAUUGAGAUUAGAUCCAAACGCUUCACCCAUUGCAUCAAUGUUCAUAGAUAGAAGUAAUUGAGAAGAUCUUAGGAUGAGGCUGCUUGCUUUUAUACUUCAAUCUCGUUUGUUGGUAAAUGUAUCAAAUUCUUUUGUUAAUGGUGAUGUUUCUGUAAACAAAUGUUUCAUUCAUUAUUCUUGAACUUUGAUAAAAAAAAACAUGGUAUAAAGGAGGAUAAAACUGUUAUUAUUGGUUAUGACGUGAAAUUGCUUGUGUCUUUAUCUCUUUAUUUAAUUAUUGUGUGUGGUAUUUGAUUGCGAGUGGUUGAUUUAGGUUGGCCUUCAGAAUGUUUGUUAGAGUAAUAGAAGUUUGUUUUCUUAAGUGAAUUUAGUUUGACCUGAGUCAGUACUUCACAUCUUAUUUCCUAGAAGAGAAUUGACUUAAUUUUCUCUAUUCUCUUUUUUUUUUGGCUGGAAGCGUUAAUCUUAAUGUUCUACUUCUUGCCAGGAUAUUAUUAAAGAAGAAACUAUAGAAAAAAGGAUAUGGCAUUUGGGGCGAAGGAAAACAUUUUAUAUAUCAGAAGACCUAAUUACAGAUUGUUUUGCAAUCAUCUGUUCAUUAUCAGUUUUUUCAUCGUUAUACUUUACAAAUUUUUUCCUACUCUAUUUGCUCUUCUUGUCACUUCCUCUCCCAUCACUAUCUGCACUGCCCUUCUUCUUGGAAUCAUUCUCACUUGUGGUGAUAAAAAAACCCCUAAAAUUGAUGAGGAUAGGAAGACUCAGAUAUUUUCUUCUCAUAAGACUAGGGUUUUUCCCAAUGUGGAAAGUAGAAGAAAGGUUAAAAAAAUGACAGUCAGAGAAGCAGUUUCUCAUGAUGAAAGGGCUACUGAUAAUAACAAGGCAAAGGCACAAAAUGAUAGAUAUGGCUCGUAUGAAAAUUGUAUGGCUGCAAACUCUUCAGUCAAGCAAGACAAGAGAGGGGCUUAUCGUGAUAAGAAGGUGACUGAAGAGAGGAAAAUUCAUGAUUGCGGGUUUGCUAAGAAGAAAGAGGUUUCUGCAGAGGGGCUAGCUAAAGGUGUAUUGAAAACAAGAGAGGAUAUUGGUAGUCUAACCACCUCGGACCAAAAGAAUUCUGAGGGUCUUAAGUUGGAAGGUGAGAAGUCCACUUUGAACACUCGCCGUCAUUCUACUUUGCGUGAAGCUUGGGAUCAUCUUGACCGCUAUGAUGCUUCUUCAAGUUCUGAAUCCGAUCAGGCAGAGUGUUCAUCGCCAGAUGCUGCUUCUAUGGCUGACAUCAUGCCAAUGCUAGAUGAGCUUCACCUGCUUUUAGACUCUGAACCUCCUCAACCUGCUCUUGUAUCCAAAGAAAACUCAGAUGUUGCUUCCAUACAGUCCUCAGAUGUUGGUAGUGUGGAGGAAGAAGCCGAAAACGUGGAGGAUGAAGAUGAUGAAGAAGUGCAGGAUGAGAAAGAUGACAAGACCAAAUCUGUGGUAUCUUGGACAGCAGAUGAUCAGAAGAAUCUUGUGGAGCUUGGAAAAUCUGAGAUGGAAAGGAAUCAGAGGUUGGAGAGCUUAAUUGCAAGACGAAGAGCAAGAAAAUUUCUAGAGAAAAAUUUAAUAUGCUUGGAUAAUAACGACUCACUGCCAAGCAUAGAAGAUCUAUCGCGCUUUCAAAUAGAGAUUCCAUCUGUUUUUCCACCAAGACGAAACCCUUUUGAUCUUCCCCAUGAUUUAGAUGAAAUUCCUCUUUCAGCUCCUCCUAGACUGGUGCCAGGACGAAACCCUUUUGAUCUUCCUCUUGACCAAGCAUAUGAAAGUAAUAGCCCUCCAAUGGAGAACUUGAGCCAUCAAGAGGUUGUCACAGAUCCGCAAAGGGAUAUGUUAUUAAGAAGGCAUGACAGCUUCACUUCAGGAGCAUCAUUUCUUGGGGAUCUUAGAGAAGAGAGGCGUGCCUCUAGGUUGAAGCCCUUUUUUGUUGCAGAGAAGAAGGAUGAAGAGGAGACAGAUUUCAAUGUCCCAAGACAAUCAAGUGAAGGGAGUGAUUCAACAGUGAUCUCUCCAAAAUCUUAUACAAUUCAAGAUCCUCUUGCUAACCAUGACACCAGUCCUGCUGAGCGAGGAAGUCAAUCCUCUGAGGGUGUUGAUGAGGUGGAUGUCAAACAAGUAGAAAGCAAGAAAGCAAAACAAGCUGUUGAUAGUCAUAUUACAAAUCCCGUCUAUGAUUCCAGUUCAUCAGCAACUGAGAAAACCAACUGAUUUUUUAGCACUUGAUGAAGUUUCCUUUAAUACAUGUACCAGGCUUAGUUAUGUUGAGCAAACAAUAGCUGCAAACUCCCUUUAUUAUCAAACUUUCUAUUAUGCAGGUAAAAAAGGUUUCAGUUCUAAUUAUUCUUCAACAUUCCACAUGCUAACAGAUAUCUCAGGAGUGGGUUCACCUCCAAGGACAGCUGAGAGGAAUGUUCUUGGGGAGAGGAAGCGCAAGAGGGGAUCUGGCAUCUGCUGAAGUUUGGGCUGCAUUGAGUUUAGCUUCCAUAGAGGAAAAUAAUUCAGGACCAGUGGAGGAAUUCUGAGAUCAGAUAGCAUGACUCUAGGUCAUCCAGUUGUACCAAUAUUACUAGAGGCAGCUGCAUGUACUUCAUAUCUUGUUAGAUGUUCAUCCGAAGAUUUGUUGACAGAAUGUAACUAUGGCUGAUUCAGAUUAAUUUCUUUUGUAUAAUCAGAUUUUGAUACUUCAAUUUUGUAAUUAAGAAGUCUUCCUUCGUUAUGAUCAUGACCUUUAGAAAACAAUUUAGGAAAUAUGAUAACAAACAUUUUCACUAAUUUAGGCCGUAGACAAAAGUAAAUCUAUAACACUUGAAGAUAUCACAAGCCCUGACUUCAAAUCAAAUAAAAAAGAAAAAGGGAGGGAUAAAUAAGAAUCAGAGGGAAGUGGCUUUGAUUGUUUUGGUUAUUUCUUUUGAUUGUCAUUCUUCGGAACAUGCAAACUCCUAUCAGAACAAGAGAAACCAAAAUGAUACGCAGUUCAGCAUUUUUAAAUUUUUGUAUUUGUCUUUAUUUGCUCUCUCAAUCAAACAAGAGCCUCAUUAUGGUUGGGUGAAACAAUGAACUUGUUGCAAUGGCAUUUAUACAUUGUCUAUCAGAUUCAUAUUGCUAGCUUCAUUCACCCACCCAUUUGUAAGAUUCUUGGACUCGAGCAUAUAUUACAAAGCCAAAUCUUAGUGUCGGUAUGUGAGAAAACGGAUAGAAUUAAGGCAAGCUUUCUAACUGCAAAUCAAGGAAUUGCCGAAACAACAUUAGUAAACCUUAAUUAUCUGAAGAUAUGGAGAUUAUAGAAAUACAAAUGUCGACAGUGACUGCAUUUGAGUUGGACUAGAAGAGUCUGUCUCCUUCAGGUUUUGUAUGGAAGUCUACUAAUUUUCACCUGCAAAUGUUUGCUUCACAAACCAGCGUAGACUGUUCAUGAUAUCUCAAAGGAUAAAGGUUGUUUUUCACAUUGAAGUGGUUGUCCUGUAGCCAUAUGCUAACUUGUUUUGUUAUUUUCAGAUUUUGCCAUUUCAUUAAUCAAAGAUGGUCAGUAUCUGAUUUAGUUUUCUGUAAUAGUAGAUAAGUAUUAAUUACUUGAUAUAUUUAUCUGCCAUCAAAGAGACUACGGGUUACUUCGUUGUCCAUCUGUAGUUUACCAAAUCACUGCAAACACUCAUUAAUAAAAGAAAUGCUAUCAUGUGCAUGACAUUACAAAUAUCAGACAACCUCUCGUCCUAACCAAGAAAAAUUCCGAGUUUUAAAGCUUUUCACUCAAACCCAUCUCCCAAGCAUGAAUUAGUUUGGUUUUAAAUAAUAUCUAGUCCGAGGAUAGGUCGUAUUCGUCGUGUCAUUACUAAUCAAUGUGGUCUUUAGUAAUUCAUUGCAUGAUGAAACCAGAGUUAGCAUAGAUGAAAGGUGUUUCCAAAUCUCGGGACACCACAAAAGGUUUCAGAAUUCAGACGCAUAUCUGGGUUCCAUCCCAAAAAUCCUGCUCUUAAACAAAGCACGAAAGCUUAAGGAAAACAUUUGCAAUACAUGUUCCAAAUCUUAGUUACGAAUAAUUAAGUGGAGGUUUUGCGUAGCAAAGAAAUGGGCACUGAGACAGGAGCGGCUCACUGCAUUUGGGGGCCUAAGGCAAACUCACUAAGAGAGGUUUUUUUUCUCUUUUGUCUUUAAGACCUUCUCUGCAGUGGACUGGUCUAAGACAAAUUCACUAAGAGAGACUUUUUUCCUUCCUAUUUUAUCCUUAAAGCCUUUACUGCGAUAGACCUUCUUUAGGCCGGGGCUUUAGGCAACCUCCUCAAUCGCUUAAGGAUUGGGUUGGCCCUGCACUGAGAGACAGACUGAGGACCAAGUAGGGGGGAGUUUCUCACUCCCUCCAUUUUCCAUCAAAAGAAAGGGAUGACAAAGCAGCAAAAGAGGGAGCAGCCCUCUCUUCAGGGCGAAAUUGUUGUACCUGCCUUCAUGCCGGACUUUGCGACGCUUGGUUUCUUCUAUGGAGACUACAUGACCCCACAUGAAACCUAAACCAGAUUUUUAUAGCCACAAUCAUAGAUAAUUUGAAGAUUUAUACUUUAUUCGCCUAAGUCUGAUCAUACCCAUCGGCAUCCUCCCACCGACACGCAGGUUUUCUCCGCUUGUGCUUUCCAUAUGUUGGCGGAAAGUGGGUGCACUUACACUUUAGAUACUAGAAUAAUGAUAUGACAAAGAGUAAGUAGUUCGCAAUGACACUUAUAAAGAAUUUUUAAAAAUGAAAAGGAAGGAUAAGAAGAAUGGUGCUGGAAAAUUUUGAAUUUUUUGUUUUGAGAUUGUGAUCUUUGCAUAUGAGAGGAAAGAAAAGAAAUUUUUUUUUUUUUGCAUGAAUAUUCUUCUAAAUAUCGAAUUUUGUAUUAAUAUCUUUUCAAAAUUGAUAUUUAUAUGUAUACCAUCGUAAAACACUUAUUUUGCUAUUGUAUUUUUUUUAUUCUUAUUUUUGCAUAUGUACCUACACCAUCUAACGCCGUUAAACGGUUUCAAAUUAAAAUGACUAAAAUAUUUUUAAUAGGUACACGUGUAAAAAGAAACAUUUAUAAGAUAGUGGAAGAAAAAAAAAAUGCAAUUUCAAAAUUUUAUUUUAUUUUUAAUUAAAACAAAUAUGGUUUUUAUUAACUAUGUUAUAAGAAUUGUUAUAUUUGAGUCAUUUGUAGAAACUAAUGUUUUAUGCAGAUAUAGUAAUAAAUAUAAACUUGAAGAAAAUAUUCAUAUAAAUUUAAAUUGUUAGAAAGGUAUUUAUGAAAAAAAUCAAAAAAAAAAACAGCAGAGAGGAAACAGCAUGGGUGGAUCUUCAUGUAACUGAAGCUGAGAAUUAAGCGUAUGAAAGUACGAUAGACCAAUGAAUUCUUUUUAACGGGUGCAAGUGUAACAAGACUUUAACAUGAUGAAAUUAAUGAAGCUGAUGUGCAACUUUCAACCUAACUUGGCUCGUAUUGUCGUACAUGACACGCUUUUAUUAGUGACAGUGGCGCGGUCUUGCAAGCAGGAAGAGGACAAAUUUUGAAUAGAUCCGGUCGGCUGGCUCGGUCCAAAACAACAUGAAAACAAUAUUCUAAAUCAAAAUAAAUUUCGGAGUUGUUAAGCACCAGGAGGUAUCAGCCAUGGGCCCAUUGUUGGAACUAAUAGAGGUCAACCACGCCUAGCUUCCAAGUCAACAUCCAAUCUAAGCGGUCUCGAAUCAAGCAGACUCAAUCAUCCCAACUAAAGAUACAAAAAACUGGAUCACAAAAUAUUAUAAACUACUAAGAAUCUCAGUGGAUAAUUUUCUUUAAAAAAGAUAAAAAGAGAGAGCUUGACACGGGCUUAGAUUUUAGAAUGCGAACGGUCGGGCCAGGGUGGGGGACCUUCCAAUGAACUAAAAUGUUGAGGCUCCGGAGCAUGCGAACGGUCGUUGGUCCACGUCAGCCAACAAAUACCGUUCCAUUGUCUCAUGGGUGGACAGCGGGGUCCACGGCAACCGAGUGACUUUUUAUAUUAUUUUAUUUAUCUGGAUUCUCUCAAGUCUCAAUCUCCCCGCAGAGCGUCUGUAAGAAAGAGCCUGAAGAGCGCCUGGCCCUUUUGCUGAUCCCAGACUACCGCCAUUAAACCCCUUUCCAAAACCCAGGAAACCUUGCUCAAAUAGUAAGGAACGACUCUUCUCUCUCUCUCUCUCUCUCUCACGGUAUCCAGAAUGAAGAAAUGGAGCAGGAAGAAGACCCAACUCUCCCUGUUCUUGGCCUUCUUCUCCUUCUUUAUGUUCUCCUCUUUUCUCAACGAUCACCGCCAGAGCACAACUAGAAAACUGCCGGACUCGAAGCACUCCUCCGUCCAGCCUUCUUUUCCUACAUACUUCACCAUCAACACCUCCAACCCCGGAACCAAGAAGCCGGUCUUAGGUAGGCCGGUUCCUUUGGAAAAGCUUUACUAUUUUCUUGGUUUCUGUGCUUUUUUAUUAAAAAAAUGGUUUCCUUGGCUGCGAUGUCGAUAUGAGUUUUGGGGGUGUGGGUGCUUCGAUUGAUUCACGUUGUGAUUGAUCUAUUUUUUUAGAGCUUCUUUUUUUUUUCCUUUUGUUUUUCCGAUCUUCUGUGAUGAAACUCUGAAAUAGAUUUGAGUUAGUAUGGAAUAUCUAAUAAAGAUUUGAAAUUUUUUGAUUUCUUUUUUUUUCCGCGGAAAUGGGUUUCGAAAUUUUGGGUAUCACUGGUGGUCCCCUGAAUUGAUGCUUCCAAUCUCGUUUGAUUUCGCUGGUUUUGACGUUAUUGGAUUGGUACGUGGAUUGAUGCUUCGAGUCUUGUUGAUUUAUUUCGUUUCGAAACUCGUUGGAAUGAAAUGCUAAAAUAAGAUUUGGGUUAGAUGUGCUUUGGGUUGGUAAUAUAAUCAUCUGGUUUCUAUUUGCAUCUUUAGUUUUCUACUCUGAAAUGGUCCUAUUGGAUUUCGGGGUUUGACGUGCCUCGAAGUGGUCCAUGUAUUCAUGCAUCGGUUAUGUUUAUUUCCUUGGUUUUCAGAUGUCUUUGGGCUGGAAACUUCGAUGCUAAAACAGCUAUUGGGUUUAAGUGUGCUUUUGAUUGGAUGCGGAAUUACUUGUUAAUGCAUCAAAAUUACGUUGCUUUCUUUAGUUUUUGAUCUAUUUCCACUCAAAUUCUGAAGGGAGUUUGUCAUUUAGGUGCUUCAGAUUGGUCCAAGGCCUGUGCUUCUGCCCGGAGCUACAAAGGCAAGUCGAAUUCAGUGAUGGAAAACCAAUGGCAGCGUGAGAGCUGGUCAGAUGGGUGUGAUGUCUUCUCAGGAAGAUGGAUCUAUGAUAAUAUCUCGUACCCUCUGUACGAUGAGGGCACAUGCCCUUAUAUGUCUGAUCAGCUGGCAUGCGGGAAGCAUGGCAGGCCGGAUAAGGAGUACCAGAAGUGGCGGUGGCAGCCCCAUGAUUGCAACUUGAAGAGGUAUAAUUCAUAAGAAAGGUGUCUUUUAUGUGCUCAGACUGUCAUAUUCACUGCUGAGGCAUGCACAGAUUCUUCUUCCAGACAGAGAUAUGUGUGGUUGGUUUUAGUCACUGCGGUCACAAUCUGUAUAAGUUGAUUAGUGGGUGUUGGUUGGUGAUGGGGAUACUGCCUUACUAGAACAUGCACAAUUUGAAAUAAUGAUACUGAUAUUUUUAAUUUAAAAUGAAAGGAAAUGGAGGAGCUUAUCUGUUUUCGUAAAUGGGAUUGAUGAAUUUAUGAGAAAACUCCAUGGCUUCUGGAGGGAGAAACAGGAAGAUAUGCCAAACAAAUCUGUCUUGACAAGAUCUGACAGAGAGUGUUAGACACAACCAUGAUGGAUAAGUUGGGUAUUUAAUGUUGUGAUCAUUAUUGAUGCACCUGUCUGAGGAUAGAUGCUCUUAACUACCGAAUCAUUAUAGUAUUGUUGUUUAUUCAGAUAAAUCAGCUAGAAUUAUAAAGUACUGACUAUUGAGUUGUUACUGGUGUAAUUUUUGUGUUUUACAUUGUGUACUUGUUUGAUUCAAGCUUCUUGGGAAACAUGUUUGUUCUUUUAGAAAUUUAUAAAGACACUUGUUCGUGCUUCCUGUUUCAUGCAUUUGUUUUUGCUUUUAGGUAACUUGCUGUUCACAGAAGUCAUCAAUGUACUGUCUCUCACUCUCAUAUAACCAUGUUUUAGCUCCAGUUUAGAAUGGCUGUUUUGGGUUAAGUAUUUUCUUUGCAAAUGAUUUGUGCUGAGAAUGGAUGUUCUGUAGAUCCACAAAGUUUACGCAUUGUAUUAUUCAUCAUCAAAUGAAUAAACUAUAAAUAUGCGAGAGUAACUGCUAGAUAAUUUUGUUAUAUGUAUAUAUAGGUUAAAUUAAUAGGUUGUUUAACUGCUUCUUUCUUAUGUGAUAUAAUAUUUUGGUCUUUUCUGUUUUAUGAAACAAUUCCCCAUGUGGUUAUAUAUUCUUUUGAGAGGCCUUAGAUAUUAGAUGAAGUGGAACUUUUAACCAUGAAGAAUCGAUAUCUAUCUACCUUAUAUUGUUGGCUUAUUUUCAACCAUUCCUCAUGAUUUAAAGACUCUUUUAAUUCCAGAAGGAACAUAUCAAUUUUAAUGUUUGUGGUCCAUGUAAUAGACACUGCUUACCAUGUAAUAUCAUUUUCCUGUUUUAAUUAAGGCAUGUAAGCAAGGAAUGUGUAGGAACAGUUACCAAGAUCUAUCUUAUGUUUUAUGAAGGUGGAAUGCAACAGAAACGCUGGAGAAGCUGCGAGGCAAGAGGCUGAUGUUUGUUGGUGAUUCUCUAAACAGAGGCCAAUGGAUAUCCAUGGUAUGCCUCAUACAAUCUGUGGUUCUGGCUGACAAGAAAUCAAUGUCACCCAAUGCUGCCUUAACCAUAUUCAGGGCAGAGGUGAGCUGAAUUAUUUGUAAUUGUAGUCCCUUCUUUUUUAGAUGAGAUGACAUAAGCAUACGACAAUGUUUAUGAUCUGAAAAGAUAGAAUAGCUCCAUGAUGAUCCUUCAUUACACAACUGUCUGAAGCAGGGAGGGGUUCACUUUAUGUGACAACAGUAUCAUGAUUUGCAUGCCAUGAAGCAUUGAGUAAUUUUCAAUGAUUAACUGGCAUAUUUCUCUGUUCAUACAGAAUAAGCUAUGUUGAUAUAGAGAGGUACUGCAUAAUUAUCAAUUACUUUCAUUACAGUAUUAUGUUCAUACCUAUCUGUUGCUCUAUUUAUAGAGCAAAUAUUUUGUUUUUCCUAUUGGUCUCACAAGCUCGCAAGCUGAAGUUUGCAUAAUAACGCACUCUUUAGUUCUCUCAUAUUUGGGGCGCAUGUGUUUGAUGAACAGGCAAUGAUUGGGUCUGAAGUGGAAAUUGGCAGUCAUAGUAUCCUAAUUGUGAUUGUUUGUUGUGCAGGAAUACAAUGCUUCAGUUGAGUUUUACUGGGCACCGCUGGUUGUAGAAUCAAAUUCUGAUGACCCAGUUAACCACAGAUUUGAUGACCGGAUCAUCCAACCAGAUUCAAUUCUCAAACAUGCAUCUCAGUGGGAGAAAGCAGAUAUUCUUGUUUUUAAUUCAUACUUAUGGUGGAGAAGUGGUUCAAAGAUAAAGUUACUGUAAGCUUAAUUCCAGAACUUGCUCAUAUAUUAAAUUACAAAAAAAGGAUGUAAGAUGGCAUAGUUUUUGAUGUUUGUUCAUAGUUUUAACGCAGAUGGAAUAGGGAUGAUGUGAUUUGUGAAGAAGCCAAUGGACUGGAUGCUAUGAAGUUGGCCUUAGAGACAUGGGCAGAUUGGGUUGCAUCCAGUGUUGAUCCCCUGAGACAGAAAGUAUUCUUUGUUACCAUGUCACCUACCCAUCUCUGGUGAGUUCAUAGAUUGUAUUUGCAGAUAGCAUGUCAUAUAGUGUUACUUAUGAUACUUAAGAAGAUUACUAAUGAUAUUAAGAUUGGCAAAGUAUGCUAUCUUAUAUUUGGAACUAGACCAUUAAAUUACAAAUUUAUGAACCACGGGCAUUAUGAAUAUCAUAGGACAAUAUGGUACUCCACUAUAUCAUUUUAAAAGAUUAACCCAUUUUACCAAUCUUUCACAUGUCCUGUUUUAUAGAAUGAUAUAAUCAUUAAUGCUUGUUGCAGCUGUAUAGAGAACUUUUGAAUCCUUAUUCGGCCAUCAGUCCUGUGAAGGGCAGCCUCUGGUUAUACUCUUUAGCUUUUCUAAAUACUCUCUGACUGCUUUAGUUGAUCUUUAAUCAGUCUAUAAAAUGAUAUUAUUACCUAUGUGGGUUUUGGGAUAUUUAGUUUGCCAAGGAUUUUGAAACUGCAUGCUUAACCUCAAUCUCAUCUUUUCCAGGAGCCAGGAAUGGAAUCGAGGAAGCGAAGGUAACUGCUUUCACGAGAAAACUCUAAUUGAAUCAGAAGGUUACUGGGGAAGUGGGUCUGACCUUGAUACCAUGCGAAUGGUAGAGAGCAUAUUGGACAGGUUGGGGCCAAAGGUUUUGGUUAUCAACAUUACUCGGCUUUCGGAGUACCGAAAAGAUGGGCAUCCAUCAAUCUAUAGGAAGUUCUGGGAGACGUUGACCCCCCAGCAACUGGCGAAUCCUGUUAGUUAUGCUGACUGCAUACACUGGUGUUUGCCUGGCGUACCUGAUAUUUGGAAUGAGUUGUUGUUUAAUUUUUUGUGAGCUUUGCAUACAAUAUGAUUGGUAUCUACCUUUGCGAACAAUCACGUUAGGGAGUAUAAUUUCUACAUCAAUGGAAAUGCUGCAAUGAGUUGCCAUGUGAGGGUCACUUGAUGAUGCAUUCUGAAGGUUAGUAUAUCGAACAUAUAUACUUAAUGUUCUUUUAGUGGCUGCAUGUGUUCCGGACAUGUGGUAUACUGCUAAAUACAAUUAGCACUCAGUUGUCUUCAUGCUGUGAUACAAAAAAACAUGAAUACUGAUUGGUUCCUUAGAGUUGGUUUGGCGAUUUUAACAUGUUCAUUAGGGUUGCAUAUUCUGGUUGUAUCUAAUGCAUGCUUAGAGUCGAUUUGUUAUUUGAAAACAACAAAAAAGAAAAAUCUGUAGAAUGGAUGAAUAUUGUCUCCAUAAAUAUCUGUUUAUACUAGUACAUGAUCUCUUGUUGAUACCAUCGGCUUCUAUCUCCUUGCAUCUGAAUCAAGCAACUGCACCUUCACUCAUUUGUAUUCGUAGGUGCAAAGACCAUGCAUCAAUUCUUUGUGCCACCACCGACGGCAAAAUGUCCAAAAGGUUGUUUGCCUCAAAAUUCAGUUCCACUGCCAGUGAAGUAAUGUGAUCAGAUCCUAUGUGUAAACUGGCUUCCUGCCCCACAUGAGAUGUCGACCAUAAGACCUCUUAUUGUAUAAAGGAUCUGCUCAUCAAACUGGGGAAAAAUAUCCUGCCUUGGGAUCAAGUAAAUGUAAAAUAUAUGAAGUCAGCAGGUUGGAAGCAAGAGCUUGGAGUACCUUACUGGUCAUCUCUAGGUCAAACAGGAAGACAAAACCAAGACCAUUAAUUCCUUCAGGAUUGAAAACUGAAGGAUAUGAAUGUUUCAUAUCUUUCAUUUUCUUUGCUGCAAGAACUUGGGAACCCAAGCAGGAAGUGGGUGUGAGUGGGUUUGCAUGUGGUAAGAGAGGGAGCAAACUUCCAAAUAACAUAGUUUAUGGAAAUGCCUUCUGUAAUGAUAUAAUAGGAACAUAUCAAUUUGAUUAUUGCUAGAUCAACUUUGAUGAGAUAGAGAAGGCACAUGCAAAGGAAAAGGUGAGAUAGAGAUUUAAAUAGUUAGAAAAUAAAUGACAUUGCUAGAUCAACUUUGAUGAAAUAGAAGUAAAAUCGAAGACGUUUGUUCUCUCGAGUCUCGAUCAUGGGCACAAUGAAACAGGAGACAGUGGGAGCAAGAUUCUUGAGAGGGUCUGGCAGCUAAUUAGGAAGUCCCAGAUACCUAUGUUUGACUAGAAAAUCCUGCUGUAUUGAACUUUUUUUUUCUUUCAAACUGAAGUAAUGUUAAAUAAACUAUGAUCGUGAAAUUGGUAACACAUGCAUACAGAUCCUUGCAUCCACUUUUGGUGUUUGGUGAACAUGACAUCCUAUAGCCACUCGUCCAUUUUCCAUGAAUUUAUACUGCAUAAAAGACAAUAUGUUAAAGAGGAGAAAACCGAAACGCUGCCUCAUAUUCUGAUGAUAAGUAAAAUGAGACUAUGAUGGCCAUGGAAAAAUUUGCAUGAUCACAGAGCAGGAUGAUAUGGACAAUCUCUUAGUUAUAUAAUUAUGAUGCAAUGAGAUUCCAUAAUAGAUAUAUAUGAAUGUGGAAGCAAAAAAAUAACUCGCUUGUUAUAAUAGUUAGCUAUUUCAAUAUCCUUGUUUUCCAUGACCACCAAGGAUACAUAUACAUAAAACCCUCUCCUGAAGCUUCUAAAUAGCCUGCAUAAGAGCAAAAUAUAUUACAGAGAAAUUAUAUAUAUUACAAGCAACCCCAUGCAAAAUUAAGAUAGUCUUUCUGAAAAUUCUAGUUCUCACCGAAUAUGAUAUUUUUGCCCUUUUCUGAGCAGAAUCUGCUGCCUCCUUGAGAUGAAAACUACUGGGAAGGUUGUGGAAAACACUAUAUAGAAUUUUCUAUUGCGUCUCCUGCCAAAAAAUGAUUAAUUUGGUCUCUUGCUCACUUGACAAGAUUACAGAAGCCGAACCUCUGGAGGAAGCAUAUGGCUUAUGUUACAUAAGAAGAUAUUCAGUGGCGGUCAAGUCAGUAGUCUUGCUAAUUUGAAGGGGAAAAAUAUUCAUACAAAUGGAUAUUGUCGAAAGCUUCAUGUAAAGAGCCACCAAGGUGGUAGCACGGUUGGAACGGGACUAAAAUUCUACCGGAGUGGCCCAGGUUCGAAAUGCAUGGGCAUCGAUUAAAUGUGGGGACCGGAUGUCCCUUGUUUGGUCAGUCUGGUGGAGUCGCCAUCUGGUCCGCCGGUACUGAGAUGGCGCUGAGGUGACGUACUCACAUGUGGGGCAACCCAUAUGUUGAGGAGGGUAUGAGUAAGAAUGGCCAUUCUGUCUACUCACAUCGAACAUUUUCUGCUGGAAGAGGGGCCAGUAGGAGCCGCUACGCCAGCGGAAUUUCACCUCCCCCCUCCUAUCUUUUAGUGGAAAAAAAAAAAAGCUUCUUGUAAAGUAUGUCAUCCUUAAGAUACUUGAAUAACCUGUGACUUUCUAACCCGUAGCAUCAAGAUGAUUGGAAAUAUUUUAAAUCUAUGCAUUACUUGAAGAAAUAAUUGGAUGAAACAACAAAGAGGAGUACCCACAGUCAUCAUGUAUUCAGUGUUUUAGAAUCAUCCAAUUCUAGUUUUAAGAGCAAUGCUGAUAUAUAUUUAUGUGUUUGAAAAUAUGAUAAAUCUUCUAUACAGACAAAUGGCCCAUUACAUACUGUGGUUCCUGAAAAGGUAUGGCUGAACAGUGCAGGUGAAUCAUUGUCAAUAAUGGGUGAAAAGAAGCUGACAGCAAGCGGACAAUCAUAUUGUCCUUCAGGUAGAGACUCCAAACAGCAAUGUGAAUCCAUCAGUCAUCAAAAUCCACUGCUUUUUCUGGCAUCCAGAUAUAUAAACCUCUCCCAGAUGCAAGAUUAUAGCUGCAAUAUCGAAGUCACUGGAAGGAAUAAUAAGACAAAUUUAUGAAGGGAUCCUAGCAAGGGAAGAAAAAAGAAAGCCAAAUUGCACACGCCACAUCUUAAGCUGAUAACAAAUCACAUUUGUCCCUAUCUUCCAUUUAAAAUUUAUAAAUAGGUUCUUAGAACAAAAGCAAAUGUAUGAAAAGACUGUCAUCAUUAAUCUCUGUGAGCUCUAUAUUAUACUAGUUGUGGUGUAGGUAUAAUUGCAUGUGGCCGCUAAAGAAUUUAGAUGUAGGAUAGAUCAAAGAAUCUAGACAUGGGAUGGAUUUUUGAAGGGAUAUAGAUCAUGUUAGAGACCAGUAACCGACUAUUGAAAUGAAGUGAAUUGGGAUCAAGAAUUCAAGCAUAAUAUGAGAUGUCAAUAGUUUUAUAAUUUUGUCACACUAUUUAAUUAUCCCAAAACUUAAAUCUUUCUGAUCCGUCAAAAUAUGCAGUCAAGUAAAAUCUAGUAACACCAUAAAAAAUGGAAAGGUCAACUAGCACUUAUGUUCACACAACCAAAUUCCGGAAAUAUGUCUCCAUCUGAAUCUAUAUCAGGGAAGAAUAUAAAACUAAUGAGGAUAUGUUUGAAAAAUUCAUAAAAUUAGGCUGGAUUUUCUGUUGGAUCAUGAAUUAGAUAGUUUAUUUGAUAGAGGCUCAUAUCAACUCCAUACCUCCAACCCAAAUCCUAUAAGAAAAAAUUUAUUACUGUAGUCCAACGAGCUCAUAAAUAGAAUUUAGGCUAAGAUUAGGAUAUGCCUUUAAAAGAAAAUGGGCAGAGCAAACUGACAAGCUCAAAUUUUGUAAAAGAAUUAGUCUAAUUCUGCUAAAUUUUCAAAUCCUAACUUCUUGUCCAAAAGAUUUUCUCGUUUCUACUACACCUCAAAACAAUUUCUAAUAAUAUGCAUAAGACAAUACAAUCAUAGUGGUUUCUAAUAUAAACAAUUAAAUAUAUUUUUAUAUAAAUUUAUUUUCGAUGAUGGUUAACUAGUUUAGAAUUAGUUGUUUAGUUUUACUCAAAAAAAUUAAUAUGUCUAGCUACAAUGCAUAAAACCAGAUUCGAUUACCAUGGUUCAGUGUAAUGCAUUUCAGACUAAAAUGCAUGUCCAUAGUUUUAAAGCUCAAAAUCGUAUCACCAUUAAAAAAAAAGCAUUUCUACCUUUUUGUAUUUUUUUCCUUUUUCUUUUUAUAAACAAGUGUACUUUUUUUUUGUGUGGAUGGUAACGCACUUUCUAGAUUCAAAUUCAAUACUUUUCCAUCCGCAAUUCAAUCCACCGGCAACCAUGUUGACCAAGGGGACCCACAGGAGACCGGGCCAUCUCCAUCUUAGCUUGACCCGUCCCCUUUCCUCGCAUCAAUUCCUGUUCAAAUAUUAAAAAUAAAUAUAAAAAUUUCAAGCCUUCCUUGGCAAACGGAUAGGGUUGCUGACCACCGCACCCGUGCGACGUGUUAUUCUUACUCGCUCCUCGCGUUACUCGAUGCUUCGGGGUCAAGAAAGCGAUACGUAGCAGCGGCUCGUCGCGCUUCCGGAAUGUUCGGCGUACACGUGCCAACGGCUACGGCUGGUUCCUGGACACGGCACGGCCCACGUCACCCCGAUAUUUCCUGCGGCGUGAACCAGGCAAUCCCCUUUCGGAACCAUCCGGAUCGGCGAGUCCUAUAAAUAGAGGUGGCGCCCUCGGGUUCUCGAUGUUUCCUUCGUCGCCAAGCACCCAAGCACCCCAACUGUCUUCAGAAGAGCCGGGGAAAAAUUAUUAAAAAAGAAAAGAAAAAAAAACUCUGCCGAGAAGCCCUAUAAGAAACCCUAGAAGAAUACCGCAGCCGCCAAGAAAGGAAGACGCCCUAGAAGAAUAUCACAGAGAUAGAAGAAAAGACUAAGGGGAUCUAGAAGAAGAUCACAAGACGGGGAGAAGAGUAGAGAUGGCCGAGCCAGAGAGGUGAGAAAUCUUGUUCUAAUUUCUGUGAUUUGUUUUAGCAAACUAAUUCUAGUGAUUUGGAUUCUGUCUUUCUUUGCUCAAUCUGUUUUCGCUUGGCUUGCUAUUUCUUUUCUGUUUUUUUUUGUUUUUUUGAUCUGCGACGAGGGUUUGAGUUAUUUUGCUCCCUUCUUCCGUUACAUAGUGUUUAAUUUGAUAGGUUUUGUCGGGGAUUUGGGGGGUUUUAAGGUUGUUCUUUGAUCUGGGACCAGGGUUUGAGUUAUUUUCGUCCUUUCUUUACGUCCCAUAGUGAUCAAUUUGAUAGUCUUUGUCUGGGAUUUGGGGGUUUUUUAAGCCUUUACUUGUUUCGCGUGGAUCCUGGGGGCCUUGGGGUUUAAGCUUCGAGUUUGAUUUGGUUUUCAUGUCAUCAAGUUAGCUGGAUGCGGAUGUUCUUUUGAGGACCGGAGUUCUGGUCUUACUGAAGAGGGAAAACUAAUUCCAGAUUACCGAGUUGGGAAUGUUUCUUGAAACUGAGUAGAACCAGGCCUCCAUCUUAAGUGGUAAUCUAGACCGGUGUGUCAGAUUGCUGGUUCUGAAACUUUUAGGUAUUCGAUAGUUUUCUGCCCUCUGAUUGCCUGUGGUAGUUAUCAUCAUUUUAAAGAAAGUACACGAGGAAGAUGAUGAGGACGUAGCAGUUAAACUUUAUGCUGUGAGAGGUAGUAAAAGUUGUUAAUUCCUUGAAAACCUAAAAAUAAGAGGAAGGCUAUCAUAUGGAGAAAGUUGUAAAGUUCAUUGAAGAUGGGUUAUUGUUCGUGCCAUUGAUCCAACCUCCUCCCCCUUACGUUGGGGUGAGAUUGGGGAGUUGCAAGUUCACUGACAUUUGGUAGUUUGUCUCUUUUUCAAGAAGGCCCGUUAUGCUCAUCAAUCUAGGUAGAAUUUGCCAACCAGGUGUUCUUGCUUGUAGUUUACUUUAUAGUGCAGAUAGGUGUGGUUUUGAGAGACGAGGUUAUAGAGUUACAUGCUGUCCAGCCAUGGAUGAUUUGGGACUGUUUUGAGAUUCGAAAGAAACUGUGUUGAAUUUUCACUUUGCAGAGAUGCACGUUAAUAUGCAUUUUAUGCUGGUGGAGAGUGGCUGUCUAUUGGCUUAGAAGGAAGGGUUGAGAUACAUGUAUGACACAUGUUUGAUAAAGAAAAAUAAUCAGUUUGUGAUGAUUGACUUUCUAGUUUUGGUGACUCAAUCAUGCUCAAUGCUGUGUGUUAUAUCAAAAUGAUUAUGAAGAGAUGGAAGUACACGAGAUGUAUAUGAGUUGAAUUUCUAUGGUGACUUUCUUUAAACAUUCAUAAUAAGCAUUUGUGACUUGACUUUUUUCCUAAAGGGUUCUGGGACUGCAUGAAAACAUUUGUGAUGAGAUUUGACAUGGGAACAUGUUUGUAUUUUGAUAGUAAGAUCGACUUCUCAUUUCCAAAACAUUCUAAAAGUUGUGCAAUUGAAGUAGUGAUCAAUGAAAUCAUUUUGCUACAUAUGAUUCUAGGGAUGAGUGCUGAUUUAGAGAGACUUAUUGUCCAAAGGCAUGCUGAUGAAAAAUCAAGGACUAACUUCAAAAAUAAAGUUGUGUGUGUAAAGGUCAAAGAAAGUUUCCAGGAUCGAAGGAGGAGUUGGAAUAGGUAAUUCAUCAAGGUUUUAGAAUGUUGGGAUUGUGUAAAAUGAAUAUAGAUAUCCUCCUAAUCUCAGCGAAUGCAAGAUUGAGUGUACUCCUAGCAUGAUGAAUCUGCUUGUAGGUGAGGGAACAGUGCAUGUGCAGUGUCCUUUUUAUUUUUUAUUUUUUGCCCCCAUUACUUAAUGGUUGGUAGCAUAUGUUUACUUAAGAAGAAUGUGCCAUAGAAAAGACAGUAAGAAGUAAAGAAUGUUAAUGGAACACAAUUUCCUAUGAUCCAGCAAUUUACCUACUCUUCUGUUCAAUCUAAUAAGUUAUAACAAAGAGGUGCUGAACCUUGUCUCAUUGUCUUACAAUCCAAGUGGAUGACUUUCCUCUGACGUCCCUGAAGCCCUAUUUAGAGGGAAUGUUGAAGGGUAUGAAGGCAUAAGAUAUUUAACAAUGUUUUUGUGCUCUUGGAUGGUCACCGUAUGCUUUUCUAUGAUUUACCGUGCUUUUCUCUCAUCACUCUAGUUAAAUUGCUGAUUUGCGGAGGUCUGCAGAUUUUUGCUCAUCAUUUUUUUACUUUGCACUUGUUUUUCCAUGGCAUAUUCAUAUUGGUUUAUGGGGUUUAUCCAGAGUCGGAGGACGAAUGGAGAUGAGAGGGAGGAAAGGGGAGAGGGAGAGGGUUGGGCUUUUAAAGUCUGUCCUUUUUUUUCCUUUUUUCUUUCUUUUCUCUCUAAUUUUCCAAUUAUUUUAAAUUUUUUAUAGUAAUUUAAGCUGCACAAUUAUACUUUUUUAUUCUGAUUGAUCACAUGCUUUACUAUUGUAUUGCAUCUGUGCUGUGAUAUCCGUGGAAAUAGAGUUUGGAGCAACAAGGGCUGGGUGUAUUGAUUGCAUCAGGUCACUAGGUAUGGACAUUGAUAAACUUAAUUCUCCAGUCUUUCUCUCUCCUUUUUUUUGUGGAUUCAUGUGGAACUUCCCUCCAGAUCAAUAACUUCUUAUAGUUGUGCCCCAAGGAAAUGUGUCAAGGACAUGGAAAUGGAUUGAGGCCUCCAGUUGAGAGAAACAUUGGUUAAAACAAAAUAUGUUGUUUAGGUGUGCUCAAACCAUUAAAAAGAACCUGGCCUUCUGCAACCAAAAUCAGGUAGUGGUAAUUGUCUCCUUGAACCAGGGAACUAGCUUUCCAACAAAUGCAGAGGUCUUGGUGUUGUAUGCUCGGUACGCGUGAAGAUUUUUCUAUCCAUGCUACCCAGGCUUUGUUCUAGUUGCAAAUGACACCCAGAGAUGGUGACCAGAGAGUGUCAUUCAGAUGUGAAUUUUGAAGACAUUAAGAACAUCUAUAUAAUAUACCCAGGUUUAUUGGAGAAAGGAUUGAUAGUUGAAUGCCCUAUUUUGGUCUGUUGUCCUUUGGAUAACUUCAUCAUCAUGGGCGCCUUGCAAUGCAGAUUCUUUUUGAUACAGUUACCAAGUAGAUGUGUGUGUGUGUGUGUGUGUGUGUGAGAGAGAGAGAGAGAUAAAUUUGGGAAUUUAUUUCUGAGGUUGGUGCCUUCUGCUCUCUCUGUUGCUUUUCUCAUGAUCAUACCUUGUUGUCAAAGGUUAUUUCCAAGUGAUGUGCUUUUGUUUCAUGUCAGCGUACUGAACAUUUUCUGUUUUUUUUUUCCCAGGAAGAAGAGAGUCCGAAGGAGUCAUAAUGGGCCUAAUUCCGUUGCAGAAACUAUUGCCCGGUGGAGAGAGCAGAACAGCCAGCUGGAAUGCUCUUUCAAUGGCGAGAAACGAGCACGGAGAGCGCCUGCAAAGGGUUCAAAGAAGGGUUGCAUGAAAGGCAAAGGAGGGCCAGACAAUGCACACUGCAAGUAUCGUGGUGUAAGGCAGCGUACGUGGGGCAAGUGGGUUGCUGAAAUCCGAGAACCCAAUCGAGGCAGUCGCCUGUGGCUAGGGACUUUCCCUACUGCCCUGGAAGCUGCUCUUGCUUAUGAUGAAGCUGCAAAGGCUAUGUAUGGCCCCUAUGCCCGUCUCAAUCUUCCGCAGUUCAAUGGUGCUGCCAACGCUCAGGCGACAACUUCAGGAUCGUGCGAAUCUACCACCACAUCACAUCACUCUGAUGUCUCUCAUGAUUGGAGCCCUCGGUCACCUGAGGUCAAAGUGCCCAAGAAAGAACUAGAGGAGGAGAUUAGAAAUGAUAGCCUGCCACCUGCACCAGUGGGUGCUGCUGCAAAGGUGGAGCAGCCUGGUGAGGAGUUGUUUGGGCCCCGGGAUCAGCUGGAGGAUCUUCCGGAAGAUAUGUUCGACAUUGGAGACAUGUUGAGGAUGAUGGAUGCUGACCCGACAAAUAGGGGCGUUGGCGGCGAGCAUACGGACGGGAGAACAGGCCAUUCUGGUGAUGUUGAUGCUGACAUCAACUGGCAACUUAGCAGCCCUUCUGCUCUCUCGUUCCAGUUGCAGAAUCCGGAUGCUAAGCUGCUGGGAAGUCUGCAUCAUAUGGAACAAAACCCCAUUGCCAUGGAUUAUGGUUAUGAUGAUUUUGUCAGCCAGCUGGAGCAGGAUUGGAAGUAUGGGCUGCCUGACGAUGAUCCGGGGAUGUGGGAGAUGGGAUAUCCUGAGUCGGACUUGUUUUAACAUGAUUCUGAUGGAGGCAAAGUCCGGCUGUUCUGUCACCCCAAGUGCUACUGAAGUAGUUUGGAGUUCUGAUAUCUGACCGUUCUUUUAUUCAUGAAAACUGACGGGCUUCAGCUAGUUCGCACUGUUUUUUUAAAGUAUGGGGACUGAGCUUGCGGCACUGUCAGUAUAGCUUUGUCUAUUAUCCGUUUUGCUUUAUUUUGAUAUUAUGUUUCAGGGACGAUACUAGAUCAUUCACCUAGUUCAUUUUGUAUGUUGGAGCUUUCUAAGCAUCGAGUUAAUCAACUCUGUAUAUAACGGAAUGGAACGAGGUUUACAAGAAAAGCAAGUAGUAGCUUGAUGUUUUCGUGUAGAAUCAGGUGCCUGAUGAAAAUACAAAUUUUGUGCGUUUGCACCAUAUCCUGCUUGAACUCUAUUUGACUUUGACAGCACCAUAUCCUGCUUAAACUCAAAUAGCCUUUGACAGCGUCCGCUUCUAUGAUGACUUGCCUAUAGCAGUCGGAUAUUGGUGCCAAACAUGGUGGGUUCGAUGGCAUCAAGUUUGGAAAAAUUAAUUUUUAUAUAAAUAUGAUAGAAUAAAAUUUGAAUAUCGAAUAAGAGUUAGAAUUAGAUUUUGGAAAAUGAGACAUCUCCCUUCUUGUUUGGGGGAAGGGGCAAGGGUCAAUCACUCGUUCCCAUUAUCAUUCCCGCGUUGAGAGAUACCGGUAGCGGGAGAUUAGGAGUUAAACCUGCUUCCAGCUAAAAAUUGGCUUUUCCAACUUUUGAUAGUAGAGACCUUAUCAUAAAAUAAUAACUUGGCUGUGAGCCUGUGAUAUUCGCACCAUUUUGAGCAUGGACGUCAACCAAAAAGAGAGUCCAAAUCCAUAUCUCUUCUACCAAGCAAAUAGGAAGACUGGAUAAGAACCAUCUUACCUUUGAAACUAGAAAGCAAAACAAAGUUGCGGUGACUAUAUUUGAACUUGGAAGAUUUCUCAUGCUAAUUUGUUCAACAUGUGUGAUGGUAUCCACUCAAAGACUGCAAUGGAUCUAUUGGUGAAAAGUAGUUGGAUAUUGCUACCUGCUAUCCAACUGGAGAGACAGGGGAAACCGCUAACCAUGUCAGUGUUGGAUAAUUUGACAAGAAAGGCAACAAAUAAGUAGAUUCUGCAGAAAUAUUGGUGUUGCUCAGUCCAUGAGCUGAGGAAUUGUGUACUAUAAUAUAUAUCAACGAGAAGUUAAGGAAUCUGCAGCACAUUUUCUCAGCAACCACUCUGAGAGGAAAAAAAAAAACACUGAACUUGGGAAUGUUAAUUAUGUUGAUAAUAUUAGCAAGGAUGAAGAAAACCAGUCUGAAUAAAACCACAGAUUUUUUCCACACCAUUAACCAAUUAAGAUUUUGUCUGUGAAACAAGGAUUAUGAAAGAAACAAUUUCUGUUCACCAUCAACAUGUUUCUUCUUUUCAACCAUUCACUCAAUUACACUAUGAAUAUUUUCAUAUUUACGUUUUUUUUUUCUUCUUUUUACUCCUUUCUUCUUCCUCUUCAUUGUUUUUGCCUCACUUUUCAGAAUAUGAAAAUGUCAUCUUCUUAAUAUUCUUUUAGCAGUCAGAGCAUCAACCUACAGCCAUCCUUCUCUUUCGAACUCAACUGAUUUUUACUUUUUAGAAGAAUCAAAUCUGAAUUUUGCAUCUCUCCAUAUUUUUGCCUUCAAUACUUUCUGUCAUCCAUUGAAACAUAAAGCCAGUCCAAUUUGCAUCUAUUUUUAUGACUUUUGAUGAUUAAGUCUGUAUUUGCUCCAAAACACUUUCAGGGCAAUGCAGCCUGACGAUUGGUUACACCAAAACACCCCCCUUUAUAUGCAUAAAACGCCUCUAAACUCCUAAAGUAAACCACAUCCAUCUACAUGAACGAAACAUACCAUGUAGAAAUAAUUACACAGUAAGUGCUCUGCCUCUAAAUUUGAUUAAAUGAUCACAGGUAAGUACAAGUCUUUUUUUGUUCCUCAGAAAAAAAGUAUAAAAGUCUAUGAAAAUCCAUAAAAUAGGAAUCCCUUUCCAGAAUUCUAAGUUGAAACUUUCCACCAUCAAAGCCAGUGAUGUUGCGAAACAUGCAUCUAAUCACAUUUUCACAUCGAUGCAGAGACACAAGAUAUUUACACCAGUUAUUUGACCAUGACAUCUUGUAUUCAACUUGUAACACCUAAGACAUAACCGAUAUCCAAGUUGUAGGAGUUGCAAAAGGUUUAACAUCUUAUUAAUUAAUGAAAUUCCAAAAGAGAACCCAUUUCGAGAUUUAUGCAGCAUCGUGCUUCAAAAUCCUUCAACUAAAACAUCAGAAUGCAAGAGAAUAGAUUAAGGAACUCCAACCAUUCAUCAGAGAUCAAAUAUUAAAAAGAAAUCCAUAAUCUCUGAGCUCAAGAAACCUCGUUUGUUUCGAGAAAAAGAAGAACUCGUUUCUUCACCGUAGCUUCUCCUUCACAGUGUACUUCUUGGCAGCCUCCCUGACCUUCUCGAUGUAGCCCUCAAUCGGCGGCGUUAGCGUGGCCAUGUACCGGUUCGCCGGGAAGGGCGUGAGUCCGGGACCAGCGCCGCCUCCCGGAGGUGGUCCGGCAGGGCGGCGAUGGCCUCCUUCUUGAGCCGGAGGAGCGUCGUCUCCGCCGCCUGCCGGGCCCGGUGCUUCCGCAUCAGCACCCGGCUGUAUUCCUUGGCAAGCCGGCGACCAUCCUCCACCGUAAGCUCGUACUUUGGGAUGGUCUCCUUGUCGACGAGGCCCAGGGUGAUGAGAUCCAGCCCUGGGGUCCCCAUGAUGAUGGGCUCCUCCUCGGGGGCGGCGCUGCGGCCCUUAGCGCGCGCCUUCUGCUGGUCGAUCUCGCGCUGGCGCUCUUUGGAGAUGAGGCCGAGCCUCUCGCGCUCGGCCUCGCGGGCGCGCUCCUUGGCGGUGAGGUGGCGGACCGGGGUGGGGGCGUUGAGGCAGGAGUCGACCAUGCGGUUGAGGCGCUCGAUGGCCUCGUUCCGCGCGCGGCCGCCUCCACGGGAAGGGGAGGAGUCGCCGGCGCCAGGCUGCUUCCUGCGGACGGUGGAGCGCUUCAGGGGCUGGCCGGACUUGAGCUUGCCCUUGCCCUUGGCAGUGCCGCUCACCGGAGAGCGCUGAAGGAGCUGGUGGCUGGAGGACGGGAUCAGGGUUUUGAGGGAGGCGAUCAGGCUCGAGGAGGAACUAGGGUUUCGCAGCAUCUUCUCCCCCGAUGGAAAUGGCUAGGGUUUGGCGAGAUGGAAAGAUGGGGUUAGGGGUUUUCCUUCAUCUUCGAUUAAUUAAAGAAUUGUUUUUACAAUAAGACCCUGUAAGAUAUGGAUUUUGCCAAAUUUCUAACGCUCGAUCCACGUGACUGUGAAAUUGGAGGCCAAUCAUGUCUCCCACAACUCCCUUUGCUCCUCCUAAUGACAGAUAGAUAGUCCGCGUCGCUUCAGGCCUUACCAUGGCGACGAGCCAUUGAAGGGCGUAAAACGAACCAUUUUGGCCGCGUGAUAGAAGCCUCUGGGUUACGCGAACUUCUUGGGAGCAUGCAACCGGCUUCUUAGCGCGUUGCUAGAUGGGAUUCGGUCAUGAGGUUCCGGUUUCUUGUGCUUGAUCUUCUUGGGCUUGGUAUAGAACUUCUUCGGCGAGCUUGGCCUGGCCUUCUUUUUCUAUAAGGAGGUCUGCCUAGUGAUUUUGACCUUUUGUAAUGAGAUCUGCUCGGCCAUGCAAAAUACUCUGUUUGGAUCCUAAGCUGUCUUGCUUUGUAAUCAGACAUUUAAAUAGUAAAAUAAUGAACUUUUUCACUCAUAUCUUAUUUUUUUGUGAUGCUUAAGUGUUUAAUUUUUCACUCAAGUGUUUGAGGUCGUCUGAAAGACGUCGAGAUCGACUGAAUGAGGCCGAAGCACUUUUGCAAAUAGAUUCAAGUAUUUAAGGUCGUCUAGCGGAUGCCGAGGUCGAUUGAAUAAGGCCGAAGUCCGUUUGCAAAUAGGCUCAAGUAUUUAAGGUCAUCCGGCGAACAUCAAGGUUGGUUGAAUGAUGUCGAAGCAGUGGACUCCAGUCCUUUGUGGGCCUCCUCCAAGCCUUUGACUCUAGUUCUCGGCAUUGUUAGGCUAAGGUAAUGGACUACAAUUCUUUUGGAGUUGGCUUUCGGAGAGGCUUGUAGUAUCUACAAUUUUCUAUGGCCAAGGUGGUGGACUUCAAUCCUUCAUGGCCUUCAAGCCUCUGUCCCCAGAUUUCAAGGAUCAGACUACGAUCCUUGGUAGCCAACGGGCCUCUGCCCCCAGUCUCAGAGUUUGGACUAUGGUCCUUGGUGGCUAACGAGCCUCUGUUCCUCGAUCUUAAGGAUUGGACUACUAUCCUUGGUGGCUGACGGAUCUCUAACACCUAGGUAUUAGGUUGUCAUGCCUCCUCCCAUCCGAGCCUAGGUUGUACUAGGACUUUUGAAUGAAGGUCUUAGUUAGGAUGUCUCUACCUUCAAAGUCGCUUUUAUGAAAAACAUACGACUUGUUACACUUUGAUUUUUUGGGCCAAUCCUUGGAGAAGAAUUGAAACAUAAUUUUAUUGAUUGUCUGUAAUAAAAGGUACAAAAUCUAGUAAUAUGACUAUUAUUGGUUGUGUGCCCUAAGAUUGUCAGGGUUUUACUUUCAAGGUAUGGGCACCCCUCCGAGUUUCUCAAGCUCGAAUACUCGAUGUGGGCAGUCCUUGCUCUAUGGAUUUCUUUCGCUUGGAUAGCUUGAUCAUUGGCAUCUUAAUUUGAAGCACCCAAUUCUUCAGCUAUAAAUCCUCCAGAGAUUAUAGUGAUUACCCCGGUAUGUGGCCGAUCAUCACUUCACCUUUCACAAAUCUCGUUAUCUUGCCGGUCUCCCUCUUUUCAGUAGAAGCCUUCAUCCUUCGAGCCCAACAUAGAUAAUGCAGGUCUCUGAUCUCAAUCAAGAUUUGAGCCCUUAAUUAGGAUGUGAAGAGGAAUAUACUUUUAGAAAGAAAAAGUGCACAUGGGAGAAAAAAAGAGUUUGGAAGAAUGGAGAGUAGUGUUCUAUUAGACAAUUAUUACAACUUCUUGCUCGGUUGUUUAGCCAAUAAAAUAUAUUCGAAAAAAACACCUACUUACUUUCGAAAUAUAUAGUCCCCUAAAAGUUUAGUUCAUCCCUGGCUCUUUAGGGUCCUUUUAAUAAAGGAAAUAUGCAUCAAGUAUUCGAUGGAAUUGCAUGAAAUGCCCGGUAUGUGACAAAUGUGGUGUAAUUAAUGCAGCUUAAGCCAAACCUAAAGUCUCACCCUUUUGACCAGUUCAUUGAGAAAUGUGGUGUAAUGCAGCUUAAGUCAAACCUGAAGUCUCGCCCUUUUGACCAAUCCAUUGACAUCCUAGUCAUCAUUUUGUAUCAGUAUCACUCUCAUUGAUAUGAUAUAUAAAAGAGCAAUGAUAUCGUGAAUCAAAAAGACCACCAGCUCUCAUUACCUUGUUCAAUAGAUCUAUAUAAAUUGAUAUAUAGCAAGAAAUUUGCUAAUAUAAUAUUGACAGGGUUGGAAAUGGACCAAGACUAGUCAUGUUUCUAUAUGGCCUAGACCCGACUUGGAGAACCCAAUCUUCUUCCUCGCAUGGUGCAAGGAGAGAUACGAAGAUGGCAAGAUCUCAAUGGCGGCGAUGGAGCCUGAGCAUGGAGCCCAAGCACAAUAGAGGUGGAGGGAGAUACAAGGGAAGGAGGAUCUCUGCAGGGAGCAUUGGACGCAGGUUGAAAAAUUUUUCAUUGAGCAAGAAAAAUAGAAAAAGAAAAACUAAGAUACGAUCUUUCUGUCUCAAUCUUGGUCGCAACAAAUUCUGGAGCUUACCAGCUUCACUUUGAACAUCGACGCCACCUCCAACCAAGGUACAACAACCACUCAUUCCUUCUCUUAACUUUCUCUCCUCUCUCUGUCCCUAAGAAGUGGCUCCAAAUCGGAGGUUUUUGAAGACUUGGAUUGGCCUAGAUCUAGCAUUUGAGGAAUAAGAGUAGUGUGUUUGGGGAUUGCUCUGUGUCUCCAUGGGUUUGCGGGGGAAGAGGAGGUGAAUGAGGGGAUGAUAGCUUACAACUACCGUAGUUGUAAGCUAACGGAAAGACACAGGCAUCAGUGAAAGAGAGAAGAGAACUGCAAAGAUGGGAGCAUGAGGAGAGAGUGCGUGGAUUGCGGGAAGAGAGAGAGGAAGAGAGAGAGGGGGGACGUGCAGGCCAUCGAGGGAAUUGGAUGUUUGUGGGUAAAUUGGAUGGCAUUUGGAUCUAAUUUUGACCAUCUAACUAAUAACUUUGUCCAUAUUUUUGAGAGAAAAAAACAUUUUUGUUUUAUUUACAAUCUUAUUUAAUUUGAUAUGAUACUUACUAACUUUUACAAGAAAUAAAAAAUUAUAUUAGUGUAGUAUUAAAUUUGGCUUAUGCCCAUAUCUAUAUCUAUUUAAAAUAAAUAUAGAUUUUUAAUUUAAAUUUUUGCAUUUGACAAAUACCAAUCUCCACAAACGUAUUGGCCAAAUAAAAAAAAAUAUGGAUAUGAAUAAAUUAAUUUUUUAUUAGAUGUUUUCUUAAAAAUCUAGACCUAUCCGACGGCCCAGUUCCCACAAUAUUUUCAAUCUUUUUAUUUCCUUAAACUAACUUUCUAAUCAAUAAAUUUCAGAAUAACUACAGAAAAAGUUGCUAACUGGGAUAUUUACCAUGGGGGCCAAGAUUUUUAAUUAGAUCUUAAAUUUAACCGAUCAAUGAAUUUCACAACAAAAAAAAAAGUCUGUUCAUCAGAAAAGGAGAACAAUAAAAAGAAAGAAAGAGAAAAUAAAACGAGGCACGCAGUUUCAAUCUCAACUGUCCAUUCAUAAUAUAUUGCUCACCAACUAUUCAUAACAUGGCAAUCAGAACACCUUUCAAUUUCCAGAAAAAAAAAGAAGAAAAGAAGAAAAAAAACAAUAACUAAGCUCUUGUUCUAUGUUUUGCCGUCAAGCCCUAAAACAACCGGCGAAGUAGGCCAAGCCGUGGUGUUGGCGGUGCUGGGCUCGUCGACCGGCACUGCUCUCGCGGUCGAUGAUGCCCUGGACGUAGCGGAAGCGGUCGACACGGCAUGGGAUGGUGACGGCCCCCGGGUUGUCGAACCCAUACUCCCUCUCCGCCUCGUUGAGAAGCCCCACGAAGAGCGGAUGCUUCAAGUACUCCACCGGCACCAUGAAUCGCUGCUGCUCUUCCUCCCCUUCUAUCCCCACCUUUACUCCCACGAACCCUUUGGGCGGCUUCCUCGAAGCCCCCUUCUCGCUUCCCAUGUGGACGCGGAAGCUAAUUAAACAGCCGGUUUUGAUGGUGGUGGUGAUCCUUGCCUUCAGUCCUUAUCCCCAAGGAAGGAAACAAACAGCACGAUAAGAAGAAAACUAGAAGACAGAGAUCAGAGAGAGACUAACUUAUGGACUAAAGCGAGAAGGGCCACGGAUCGGAACUCGAUAUUGCGAGGCAGAAAAGGGUGAGCGAGGACUCGCAGAGAGAUGUUGGGACGUUCGACAUGAUGGAAAUUUUAACAAGCGUAUUAGAGGCGAUGCAAGAUGAUAUAUAGAGAGAGAGAGUUGGAGGCCUUUGGAGGAAAGCAACAGAAUUAUAGAGAUAUACUCGUAUCAGGUAAACCAGGAUUUGCCGUCUCAGGUUGGUUUAUUCUCUCUGUAUCGCGUCACCCGGAAGUCUCCCGAAAAAGAAGGAUUCACCUUUCUCUCGCGAAUCCUACGCGUGAUUUGAGAUAUGUGCAGUCGUGAUCCAACGGUUGAUGUUCUGUAAGAAGUCGUGAUACAACCCGAAGUCCGCUCGGAAACUACGGGUUCCGGCCCUGCGAAUCCGCUAUAUCCGUUGAAUUCACAACCAUGGUGGAGUCGGAAUUUGAGUAGGAUUCCUCCAGGCCGGCGACGCCGCCAGGCGUUAAGGAAGGUAAACGAUUACAACGCGGAACAGCUUAUUCCCCAACGAGAGCCUGACGCGUAAGUGCUAAGAUGCAGGUACAACGUUAAAUUAGAGCUUUUUUUUUUUUUUUGCUAAAAAAAAGGAAAGGGGGAGGGCAGGGACAAGUGCACCCCCACGUAGCAGCCCCCAUUGGGCUAUCGCCCCGCCAUGGCAGUAUGUUGGGCACCCCAACCAGUUUUACUCAUACCCUUCCCACUUAUAGGUCCGGCACGGCUACCGCUCUAGGCUCCGGUUCGAAAUCCCAUGUGUGAGUACAUCACACCUGGCACCACCAAAACUACUAGAGGUCCAAUAAAUAUUUAUAAGCCCCAUGUUCAAGCAGUGGCCAAAGCCAUAUUUUAAUCGACGCCGCAGCGACUCGAAUUUGGAACCAUGAGGAUAGAAAAUACGCCCAGUACCACUAGGCUACACCUUGGUGGCAAUUAGAGCUUCUUUUCACUGGAACGGUGUGUGAGGACCGGAUUGUGUAGAUUUUCUCUAGGUAGGUGCGUAGUCGCCUCCAUGUUCCCGUCCGCUUAGAAACUCAAGCAGAGCAUUACGUUGAUUCGAUUUCCAAAAGGUUCCAACUGGAUUCAGCAUAACCACAGGUGCUCAAAGCAAUAUCUGCCAGAGAUUCGCGUAUUAGGAAGGGUUCGGAAGGAUCUUGGAUCAUAAAUAAUAAAAUUUUGAAUGUUUCGAGAUUUUCUCGGAAUUAUUAAAAUCAAAAAAUUGAAUCUUGGUCGUUAUACAAUUAUUUUUAUUUUAAGCUAUUAAUUUAUAUAAAUUAUUUAAGAUUAUUUAAGGUUUCAUAUGAGCAACUACAAAUUCUCAAAUUCAUAUAUUAAUGGAGAAAUCUACGGGAGAAGAUGUGACGCAGUGUGGAUGCUGUCAUCCCUUUACGCUCAUCAUACGUUGCUUGCACAGAUAUCAAAGCAAGCAAUAGAUGAUCCAAUGGUGGAUAAUUCUUUUUUUGCGCGCAGGAUAUACCUAAGAUCCGAAGAAGAAAGAUUUUUGAGAUUGAUGAUAUUGCUUAUACUUUUCAUAUGCAUGAUAUUAAGAUACAUGUGUAUUUGAUAAUAUUAUCUUUAAUCUAUUCCAUAGUGCUUGCUGAUGAGCAAUUUCUACCUUAAUACUCUAUUGGCUAAUAUCUUGAGAUACAUGGUUUAUAUUGAUUGAGAUCACAAAGAACAGUAUCUGCACUAUAUAUUAUUGAAUAAGAAAGAAAUAUGCUAUUUAGAUUCUAUAGAAUAUGAUUAGCAUUUCUCUUCAUGAAUAUUUGUAUAUAAUCCAUGUGCAGCUCUGUGUAUUCUUGAGACUUUCUUAGAUAUUCCAAACUAUUUUAACUCUGUUUUGUUAAAAAAAGAAAUCUGUAUCCAUCUCUAAGCAUAUUCCCAACUUGUUAAAGUUUUUUUAAAAAUAAAAAUUAAACAAAAGCAUUAACAAAAACAACAUCCACAUAUUUUAUUUCUCUUAUCCAUUAAUUCUUAGAGCUUUUUAUAUUUUUCAAAAUAUAGUGCCUAGUUGCUAGAGUCAAGUUAUAUUAAUCUUGUUAUCUUUUUUUUCUAAAGAUGUAUUGCACCUGUCUGGUUGCUAAUCUCAAAUUAUACUGCCUAAUAUUGAUUAAAAACUAGUAUUUUGAUAGAGAUGAGCCUACCGAGCUCAAGCCAAGGCAUUGAUUAAAAAUCUGGUUUUUUUUUUUUUUUGGUCGCACGGCAACAGGGCAUUGAUGCUUUAUAUUAUGGCCCCGGGGCUCUUAGGAGUGCUUUUUGUUCCUUUUAUUUUUGUUUCAAAUUUUGAUCCCCUGGUUUUUGGACCGCCGGAUUCACUCUCUCAUGCUCUCCGGCUCCCUCCCCUGGUGUUCUCUCUCUAACUGAUCUUGCCUAAUCUGGUAGGCAUGAAUUUCACUAUCAAUUUCAAGAACAAUAAUAAAAACAAAUAAACCCCGAUUAGUUAUCUACCCUUGUACGAUUCAUGCCGUCAAGCCCUGAAGCACCCGGAGAAGUGGGCCAGGCGGUGGUGGCGGCGGCUGCGGUGGUAAUGCUGGCGAUGGGCUUGAACGGCAGCACUGUGCUCACGAUCGAUGAUGCCUCGAACAUACCGGAAGUGUUCGACGCGACAGGGGAUGGUGAUGGCCCCCGGCUGGUCGAAUCCGUACUCCCUCUCCGCCUCCUUGAGAAGCCCUACGAAGAGCGGAUGCUUCAAGUAUUCCACCGGCACCACGAACCGUUGCUUCUCCUCCUCCCCUUCCGUCCCCACCCUUAUCCCCAUCCACCCCUUCGGCGGCUUCAGCGGAGGCCCCUUGUCAUGUCGAGUGUGAGAGUAGAAGUUGAGCGGUCUAUCGAGGUGGUACUGCUUGUCUACAGGCCUCAUCGACGAAACGGGAAACAAAGAACAGUACAAGAAGAGAACUAGAAGUAGAGAUGGAAAGAGAGAGAGAUAAAGGAACCUCAAGGACCGGAGCUCGAGAUGGUGAGGAGGAAAAGAGAGAGAGAAGAGUGGCAGAGAGACUCCGGCACGUUCGACAUGGUGGAGAGAGCUAGUGUUAUGGAGACGAGGGAGGGAGGGAGGGUUAUAUAUAGAUAGAGAGCGUAGGAGCCUUGGGAGUGGAGGAAGGGAACCGAUAGGAACGGAGAUGUAGCCGCAUUAGGGAAGGCGGUAGGCACCGAGACGUGAAUAUCCAUCCCAAACAAAAUUUUUCGAGUGGUAAGCGGCAAAAGGAUGCCACCUAAUCUACCGUACUAUUUGCUUUACGGAAAACAUAGGUAGGCGACAGGAGGCGCGAGUCACGGCCCUUCGAAACCGCCAUAUGGUCUAAGCUCAGUUUCAGCCCGUGCUGGUGGCUUUAUCCAACGGCCACGUCCUCGCAAUGCUGUUGGGGACACUUGGGAGCUGGCGAUUGGAAGAGGACUGCGGGUCCCAGCUACAAUCGCGGAGGACACGUGUCAGAAGUAGGGAUGAAGCAUUUUUGAUGUAAAAAUGUGCGACUCUUUUUCUCCUUUUCUGAUCAGAUAUCUAAAGAUGUCAGAAGUAGGUAUUUUUACUAAUUUGAAGACGAACAACAAACAAGAAGAUGGUAAUGGCGCCGAAUAAGCUCAGUAGUCUAUUCGGAGAUAUCCGAUAAAAUUAGAACGGUACAUAGAAGAAUAGCAUACCCUUGCGCAAGGAUGACAUGCAUAAAUCGAGAAAUGAUCCAAAUUUUUUCGUUAUUUUAACGCCCAGAUUUGCUCUUUUUUCAUGGGUGCCUCCAUCCUUAGUCAUCUCAAAGAUAAUUUCAAUGACGACAUGUCGGCGGAUGGAAUAUAUGGAGAAGUGGAAUUUAUGAUCGGAGACCACCACGGCAGAGAUGGCGGUAGGUGGUCGGCGCACCCUCGGUCGGACUGUUAUUGAGGCAGAGCUUCAAGCAGCAUGGGAAGGCAUCUCCUAUGCGAGGAGGGUACCUGGUGCAGAUAGGAUAUGUCUCGAGGGGGAUUCCACUACGGUGAUCGAUUGGAUACGGAGAGCUGAUCGAUACGGGGAUGGUCACCCACUGAUUUGUGAGACUAGUGGACUGGUCAAGGGUUUAGCUUCUUUUCAGAUAGUGCACAUAUAUCGGAAGACGAACAGAACUACAGACUGGAUCGAUCGCCUUCUACGUGGCUCGGCACGCUGAAGAGAUCUUUUGGACUAGUGUCACCGAGACUCCCUCUCCCCUUAUCAUUUUGUCGCUUUUAAUUUGGCGGAUUGUACUCAUGUAAAAGCCAUAUGAAUGUCGUUUUUUAUAAAAAAAAAAAAAUAAUAAUAAUAAGCCAAAGCAUUUCAGUAAAAAUACUAUGUAAGGGUUCAGACGUCCCACCAAAAAAAAACAAAAAGGCAUUCACCUCCUCAUACGAAAGUGCGGCUUGCAUUAGGAUUGGGAACUAUGAUUGCUGCAGAGAUUGGCUCGAUGUGAACAGUGGACAUAGUAGAGAUUAUGAGAAUGCGAAAAGUGUGUAUGGUCUCCAAAGUUGGAUAAAAGGCUGGACAGUAAAACGAGAGGAUGGAUGAUGGAUCCCCCUUCCCCAACCCAAAAAAAAAAGUAAAAAAGAAAAAUAGACUUCACAUUAUUAUUGAAAUAUGGGGACUUUGAGGUGAUACCAACGCUUAAUAAAUCAUCCUGCCUUUCUUAUACGGUUGGUAUUAUUCUGUUUCUUUUCUUUUCCCGGUUGCAAUAAUUGCAUGUUUCCAAAUUACUCUCCUUUGCACCCACUUUUUGUAUUCAUAUUCAUUAAUAUAUUACAUAAUUUUUUACAAUACAUGCACAAUUGUCAAUUUUGAAGAACGGCAUUAGCCUUUUUCAUAUUUGUGUAAUCAUUAAGCAAUUAGUUGACAAUCAUGACUUUAUUGCAGAUUUGCAGUGAUGACAGCUUGAUAGGUUGCAACAUAGUAAAAUAGUUGUUCUAAUGAAAAUGGUAGUAUAAAUAUGUAAGAUUUAUGUUCAAUAGAAAAAUAUUAUGUACUUACAAGUUGGACGAAAGUUGAGUUUUGUUAGAUUAAUCAAAUUUAAAUAAAAAAUUUUAAGCAUUCGUUUCUCAUUAUAGAUACCUACAAUUUCGUGUAAUAACUAUCAAGUUUGAAAGUUCCACCGCUUAACCUUAGGUUCAAUUAAUUUCGGCAUGUCUUGGAUACAAUCCAUGGGCCUUAUGUAUUUCAUUGGGGUGAAAUGUGUCAUGGACUAAUAGUUCAAAAGCAUAAGUAGCUAGGAGGAAGACCUAUCCAGGCUAAUAACUAUGUGGAAGUCCUUUUAUUAGUUGAUAUGGGACUAUGACCAUCUCUCCCACUCAACCUCACGAUGCCUCUAUCACGAUUGGCUCCUACUCUAAGGAGAAGGGGUCCGCUUAUGGCGUGCAGGUUUUACUCUAUCCAUCGCAUCCUUCUUGAUCCUAGUAUCUCCCAAUUAGGGGCCUUCAUAACUAAUAAAAGUUGUGAUGCAUAUAAAGCCCGGCUCUGAUGUUGCUUAUCAUAGAUUUAUUUCUUUAAGUAUCUGUGCAACACUUAGAAGCUUUGCUUGCCUGCAACCACCUCUAAGUCAACAUAUCACUUGGCCCCUUCAAGCUAGAACUUUUAAAAGAAAAAGAGCACGUAGGAGAAAAAGAGAGAGUUUGGAAGAAUGGAGAGUACUGUUCUAUUAGAGAAUUAUUAGAACUUCUUGCCUGGCCGUUUGGCUAAUAAGAUACAUUCUCACUCCAUAAAAUUCUAGAAAAAUAUCUACUUACUUUUCCAAAUAUAUAGUCUCCUAAAAAUUUAGUUCAUCUCUGGCUCUUUAGGGUCCUUUUAAGAAGGAAAAUAUGCAUCAAGUAUUCGAUGGAAUUGCAUGAAAUGCUCGGUCCGCGACAAAUGUGGUGUAAUUAAUGCAACUUAAGCCAAACCUAAAGUCUCACCCUUUUGACCAGUCCAUUGACAAAUGUGGUAUUAUGCAGCUUAAGUCAAACCUGAAGUCUCACCCUUUUAACCAGUCCAUUGACAUCCUAGUCAUCAUUUUGUAUCAAUAUCACUCUCAUUGAUAUGAUAUAUAAAAGAGCAAUGAUAUUGUGAAUCAAAAAGACCCAGGUCUCAUUACCUUGUUCAAUAGAUCUAUAUAAAUUGAUAUAUAGCAAGAAAUUUACUAAUAUAAUAUUGACAGGGUUGGAAAUGGAUUGAGUCUAGUCAGAUUUCUAUAUAGCCUAGACCCAACUUGGAGAGCUCGAGCUAGGUUCAUAUCAGGCUCAAACUGAGCUCGUUCCUGGCAUGGUGCAAGGAGAGAUAUGGAGAUGGCAAGAUCUCAAUGGCGGCAGUGGAGCCUGAGCAUGGAGCCCAAGCACCAUAGAGGUUGAGAGAGAUACAAGGGAAGGAGGAUCUCGACAAGAAGCAUUGGAAGCAAGUUGAGAAAUUUUUCAUUGAGCAAGGGAAACAGGAAAAAAAUGUAAUGUCCGGGCCCAAUACAGACCGGGCCCAAUACUGUAGGGCCCAGUUGAAUAGUAUUGGGCCAGGGAGGGGUUAGCUGGCCCAAAAUGGCCAUAAUCUCCCGCCUGAGGGCUGAAAAGACAAGACCACCAGAUGGCUAACGGANNNNNNNNNNNNNNNNNNNNNNNNNNNNNNNNNNNNNNNNNNNNNNNNNNNNNNNNNNNNNNNNNNNNNNNNNNNNNNNNNNNNNNNNNNNNNNNNNNNNNNNNNNNNNNNNNNNNNNNNNNNNNNNNNNNNNNNNNNNNNNNNNNNNNNNNNNNNNNNNNNNNNNNNNNNNNNNNNNNNNNNNNNNNNNNNNNNNNNNNNNNNNNNNNNNNNNNNNNNNNNNNNNNNNNNNNNNNNNNNNNNNNNNNNNNNNNNNNNNNNNNNNNNNNNNNNNNNNNNNNNNNNNNNNNNNNNNNNNNNNNNNNNNNNNNNNNNNNNNNNNNNNNNNNNNNNNNNNNNNNNNNNNNNNNNNNNNNNNNNNNNNNNNNNNNNNNNNNNNNNNNNNNNNNNNNNNNNNNNNNNNNNNNNNNNNNNNNNNNNNNNNNNNNNNNNNNNNNNNNNNNNNNNNNNNNNNNNNNNNNNNNNNNNNNNNNNNNNNNNNNNNNNNNNNNNNNNNNNNNNNNNNNNNNNNNNNNNNNNNNNNNNNNNNNNNNNNNNNNNNNNNNNNNNNNNNNNNNNNNNNNNNNNNNNNNNNNNNNNNNNNNNNNNNNNNNNNNNNNNNNNNNNNNNNNNNNNNNNNNNNNNNNNNNNNNNNNNNNNNNNNNNNNNNNNNNNNNNNNNNNNNNNNNNNNNNNNNNNNNNNNNNNNNNNNNNNNNNNNNNNNNNNNNNNNNNNNNNNNNNNNNNNNNNNNNNNNNNNNNNNNNNNNNNNNNNNNNNNNNNNNNNNNNNNNNNNNNNNNNNNNNNNNNNNNNNNNNNNNNNNNNNNNNNNNNNNNNNNNNNNNNNNNNNNNNNNNNNNNNNNNNNNNNNNNNNNNNNNNNNNNNNNNNNNNNNNNNNNNNNNNNNNNNNNNNNNNNNNNNNNNNNNNNNNNNNNNNNNNNNNNNNNNNNNNNNNNNNNNNNNNNNNNNNNNNNNNNNNNNNNNNNNNNNNNNNNNNNNNNNNNNNNNNNNNNNNNNNNNNNNNNNNNNNNNNNNNNNNNNNNNNNNNNNNNNNNNNNNNNNNNNNNNNNNNNNNNNNNNNNNNNNNNNNNNNNNNNNNNNNNNNNNNNNNNNNNNNNNNNNNNNNNNNNNNNNNNNNNNNNNNNNNNNNNNNNNNNNNNNNNNNNNNNNNNNNNNNNNNNNNNNNNNNNNNNNNNNNNNNNNNNNNNNNNNNNNNNNNNNNNNNNNNNNNNNNNNNNNNNNNNNNNNNNNNNNNNNNNNNNNNNNNNNNNNNNNNNNNNNNNNNNNNNNNNNNNNNNNNNNNNNNNNNNNNNNNNNNNNNNNNNNNNNNNNNNNNNNNNNNNNNNNNNNNNNNNNNNNNNNNNNNNNNNNNNNNNNNNNNNNNNNNNNNNNNNNNNNNNNNNNNNNNNNNNNNNNNNNNNNNNNNNNNNNNNNNNNNNNNNNNNNNNNNNNNNNNNNNNNNNNNNNNNNNNNNNNNNNNNNNNNNNNNNNNNNNNNNNNNNNNNNNNNNNNNNNNNNNNNNNNNNNNNNNNNNNNNNNNNNNNNNNNNNNNNNNNNNNNNNNNNNNNNNNNNNNNNNNNNNNNNNNNNNNNNNNNNNNNNNNNNNNNNNNNNNNNNNNNNNNNNNNNNNNNNNNNNNNNNNNNNNNNNNNNNNNNNNNNNNNNNNNNNNNNNNNNNNNNNNNNNNNNNNNNNNNNNNNNNNNNNNNNNNNNNNNNNNNNNNNNNNNNNNNNNNNNNNNNNNNNNNNNNNNNNNNNNNNNNNNNNNNNNNNNNNNNNNNNNNNNNNNNNNNNNNNNNNNNNNNNNNNNNNNNNNNNNNNNNNNNNNNNNNNNNNNNNNNNNNNNNNNNNNNNNNNNNNNNNNNNNNNNNNNNNNNNNNNNNNNNNNNNNNNNNNNNNNNNNNNNNNNNNNNNNNNNNNNNNNNNNNNNNNNNNNNNNNNNNNNNNNNNNNNNNNNNNNNNNNNNNNNNNNNNNNNNNNNNNNNNNNNNNNNNNNNNNNNNNNNNNNNNNNNNNNNNNNNNNNNNNNNNNNNNNNNNNNNNNNNNNNNNNNNNNNNNNNNNNNNNNNNNNNNNNNNNNNNNNNNNNNNNNNNNNNNNNNNNNNNNNNNNNNNNNNNNNNNNNNNNNNNNNNNNNNNNNNNNNNNNNNNNNNNNNNNNNNNNNNNNNNNNNNNNNNNNNNNNNNNNNNNNNNNNNNNNNNNNNNNNNNNNNNNNNNNNNNNNNNNNNNNNNNNNNNNNNNNNNNNNNNNNNNNNNNNNNNNNNNNNNNNNNNNNNNNNNNNNNNNNNNNNNNNNNNNNNNNNNNNNNNNNNNNNNNNNNNNNNNNNNNNNNNNNNNNNNNNNNNNNNNNNNNNNNNNNNNNNNNNNNNNNNNNNNNNNNNNNNNNNNNNNNNNNNNNNNNNNNNNNNNNNNNNNNNNNNNNNNNNNNNNNNNNNNNNNNNNNNNNNNNNNNNNNNNNNNNNNNNNNNNNNNNNNNNNNNNNNNNNNNNNNNNNNNNNNNNNNNNNNNNNNNNNNNNNNNNNNNNNNNNNNNNNNNNNNNNNNNNNNNNNNNNNNNNNNNNNNNNNNNNNNNNNNNNNNNNNNNNNNNNNNNNNNNNNNNNNNNNNNNNNNNNNNNNNNNNNNNNNNNNNNNNNNNNNNNNNNNNNNNNNNNNNNNNNNNNNNNNNNNNNNNNNNNNNNNNNNNNNNNNNNNNNNNNNNNNNNNNNNNNNNNNNNNNNNNNNNNNNNNNNNNNNNNNNNNNNNNNNNNNNNNNNNNNNNNNNNNNNNNNNNNNNNNNNNNNNNNNNNNNNNNNNNNNNNNNNNNNNNNNNNNNNNNNNNNNNNNNNNNNNNNNNNNNNNNNNNNNNNNNNNNNNNNNNNNNNNNNNNNNNNNNNNNNNNNNNNNNNNNNNNNNNNNNNNNNNNNNNNNNNNNNNNNNNNNNNNNNNNNNNNNNNNNNNNNNNNNNNNNNNNNNNNNNNNNNNNNNNNNNNNNNNNNNNNNNNNNNNNNNNNNNNNNNNNNNNNNNNNNNNNNNNNNNNNNNNNNNNNNNNNNNNNNNNNNNNNNNNNNNNNNNNNNNNNNNNNNNNNNNNNNNNNNNNNNNNNNNNNNNNNNNNNNNNNNNNNNNNNNNNNNNNNNNNNNNNNNNNNNNNNNNNNNNNNNNNNNNNNNNNNNNNNNNNNNNNNNNNNNNNNNNNNNNNNNNNNNNNNNNNNNNNNNNNNNNNNNNNNNNNNNNNNNNNNNNNNNNNNNNNNNNNNNNNNNNNNNNNNNNNNNNNNNNNNNNNNNNNNNNNNNNNNNNNNNNNNNNNNNNNNNNNNNNNNNNNNNNNNNNNNNNNNNNNNNNNNNNNNNNNNNNNNNNNNNNNNNNNNNNNNNNNNNNNNNNNNNNNNNNNNNNNNNNNNNNNNNNNNNNNNNNNNNNNNNNNNNNNNNNNNNNNNNNNNNNNNNNNNNNNNNNNNNNNNNNNNNNNNNNNNNNNNNNNNNNNNNNNNNNNNNNNNNNNNACGAUCUUCUGUCCCAAUCCUGGUCGCAACAAAUUCUGGAGCUCACCAACUUCACUUUGAACAUCAACACCUCCACCUCCAACUAAGGUACAACAACCACUCAUUCCUCCUCCUCUCUCUCUCUCUCUCUUCUCUCUCCAUUCCUAAUAAGUAGCCUUCAAAUUGGAGGUUUUUGAAGGCAUGGAUUGCCUAGAUCUAGCAUUUGAGGAAUAAAGGUAGCGUGUUUGGGGAUUGUUCCGUGUCUCCAUGGGUUUGUAGGGGAGGAGGAGGUGAAUAAGGGGAUGAUGAUAGCUUACAACUACCAUAGUUGUUGGCUAACUCAAAGACACAGGCAUAUUGGAUGUUUGUGGGUGAAUUGGAUGGUGUUUCGGAUGUUAUUUUGACCAUCUAACUAAUAAUUUUGUCUAUAUUUAUUCUAUUUAUAAUUUUAUUUAAUUUGAUAUGAUACUUAUGAACUUUUAAUAGAAAUAAAAAAAUUAUAUUAGUAUGGUAUUAAAUUUGGCUUAUGUCCAUAUAUCUAUAUCUAUUUAAAAUAAAUAUAGAUUUCAAAAUUUGAAUUCUUGCACUUUGACAAAUAUCAAUCUCUACAUAUUGGCCAAAUAAAAAAAUAUGGAUAUAGAUAUAUUAAUUUUCUAUUAGAUGUUUUUCUAAAAACCUAAAUCUUUUCAAGCCUAACUGAAAUCUGAUGGCCCAGUUCCAACAAUAUUUUCAAUCUUUUUAUUUCCUUAAACUAACUUUCUAAUCAAUAAAUUUCAGAAUAACUACGGAAAAUGUUGCUAACUGGGAUAUUUACCAUGGGGGCAAGAUUUUUAAUUAGAUCUUAAAUUUAACCGAUCAAUGAAUUUCACAACAAAAAAAAAAAGAAGAGUCUGUUCAUCAGAAAAGUAGGAAGAAAAAAAAAAGAAAGAGAAAAUAAAACGAAGCACGCAGUUUCAAUCUCAACUGUCCAUUCAUAAUAUAUUGCUCACCAACUAUUCGUAACAUAGCAGUCAGAACACCUUUCNNNNNNNNNNNNNNNNNNNNNNNNNNNNNNNNNNNNNNNNNNNNNNNNNNNNNNNNNNNNNNNNNNNNNNNNNNNNNNNNNNNNNNNNNNNNNNNNNNNNNNNNNNNNNNNNNNNNNNNNGUCGCGGUCGAUGAUGCCCUGGACGUAGCGGAAGCGGUCGACACGGCAUGGGAUGGUGACGGCCCCCGGGUGGUCGAACCCAUACUCCCUCUCCGCCUCGUUGAGAAGCCCCACGAAGAGCGGAUGCUUCAAGUACUCCACCGGCACCAUGAAUCGCUGCUGCUCUUCCUCCCCUUCUAUCCCCACCUUUACUCCCACGAACCCUUUGGGCGGCUUCCUCGAAGCCCCCUUCUCGCUUCCCAUGUGGACGCGGAAGCUAAACAGCCGGUUUUGAUGGUGGUGGUGAUCCUUGCCUUCAGUCCUUAUCCCCAAGGAAGGUAACAAACAGCACGAUAAGAAGAAAACUAGAAGAAAGGGAUCAGAGAGAGACUAACUUAUGGACUAAAGCGAGAAGGGCCACGGAUCGGAACUCGAUAUUGCGAGGCAGAAAAGGGUGAAAGAGGACUCGCAAAGAGAUGUUGGGACGUUCGACAUGAUGGAAAUUUUAACAAGCGUAUUAGAGGCGAUGCAAGAUGAUAUAUAUAGGGAGAGAGUUGUAGGCCUUUGGAGGAAAGAAACGGAAUUAUAGAGAUAUACUCGUAUUAGCUUGGUUUAUUCUCUCUGUAUCGCGUCACCCGGAAGUCUCCCGAAAAAGAAGGAUUCACCUUCCUCUCGCGAAUCCUACGCGUGAUUUGAGAUAUGUGCAGUCGUGAUCCAACGGUUGAUGUUCUGAAAGAAGUUGUGAUACAACCCGAAGUCCGCUCGGAAGCUACGGGUUGCGGCCCUGCGAAUCCGCUAUAUUGGUUGAAUUCACAACCAUGGUGGAGUCGGAAUUUGAGUAGGAUUCCUCCGGCGACGCCGCCAGGCGUUAAGGAAGGUAAACGAUUACAACGCGGAACAGCUUAUUCACCAACGAGAGCCUGACGCGUAAGUGCUAAGAUGCGGGUCCCACGUUAAAUUAGAGCUUCUUUUCACUGGAAGGAUGUGUGACGACCGAAUUGUGUAGAUUUUCUCUGCGUAGCCGCCUCCAUGUCCCCGUCCGUUUAGAAACUCAAGCAGAGCAUUACGUUGAUUCGAUGUCCAAAAGAUUCCAACUGGAUUCAGAGAUUUGUGUAUUAGGAAGAGUCGCAGCCGGGAGGAUCUUGGAUCAUAAAUAAUAAAAUUUGAAAAAUUUUGAAUGUUCCGAGAUCUUCGCGGGAUUAUUUAAAAUCAAAAAAAUAAUCUUGGCUGUUAUACAAUUAUUUUUUAUUUUAAGCUAUUAAUUUAUAUAAAUUAUUUAAGAUUUCAGAUAAGGCACUACAAAAUUUCAAAUUCAUAUAUUCAUGGUCUACCGGAGAAGAUGUGACGCAGUUGCAUUCUUUGCUCGCAGAAAGUCAUCCAUCUGUGGAUAUCAAAGCAAGCAAUAGAUGAUCCAUGAUGGAUAAUCCUUUUUUUGCGCGUAGGAUAUAUCUAAGAUCCGAAAAAGAAAGAUUUUUAAGAUUGAUGAUAUUGCUUAUACUUUUCAUAUGCACGAUAUUAACAUACAUGUGUAUUUGAUAAUAAUCUCUUUAAUCUAUUCCAUAGUGCUUGCUGAUGAGCAUUUUCUACCUUAAUACUCUAUUGGCUAAUUUCUUGAGAUACAUGGUUUAUAUUGAUUGAGAUCACAAAGAACAAUAUCUGUACUAUAUAUAUAUUAUUGGAUAAGAAAGAAAUAUGCUAUUUAGAUUCUAUAGAAUAUGAUUAGCAUUUCUCUUCAUGAACAUUUGUAAAAAUAUAUAAUUAGGAAAUUGUAUAUAAUCCAUGUGCAACUCUGUGUAUUCUUGAGACUUUCUUAGAUAUUCCUAACUAUUUUAACUCUAUUUUGUUAAAAAAAAGUAAUCUGUAUCCAUCUCUAUGCAUAUUCCCAACUUGUUAAACUUUUUUUAAAAAAUAAAAAUUAAACAAAAACAUUAACAAAAACAACAUCCACAUAUUUUAUUUCUCUGAUCCAUUAAUUCUUAGAGCUUUUUAUAUUUUUCAAAAUAUAGUGCCUAGUUGCUAGAGUCAAGUUAUAUUAAUCUUGUUGUUUUUUUUUCUAAAGAUGUAUUGCACCUGUCUGGUUGCUAAUCUCAAAUUAUACUGCCUAAUAUUGAUUAAAAACUAGUAUUUUGAUGGAGAUGAGUCUGCCGAGCUCAAGCCCAAGGCAUUGAUUAAAAAUCUGGGUUUUUCUUUUUUGCCGCACGUCAACAAGGCAUUGAUGCUUUAUAUUAUGGCCUUGGGGCUCUUAGGAGUGCUUUUUGCUUCUUUUAUUUUUGUUUCAAAUUUUGAUCCCCUGGCUUUGGACCGCCGGAUUCACUCUCUCAUGCUUUCCGGCUCCCUCCCCUGGUGUUCUUUCUCUCUAACUGAUCUUGCCUAACCUGGUAGAAGUUUCCAAGACGAGCCCUUAAUCUUAAUUUCAACUAAUAUAAAAAGCACCAAUAAUUUCUAUCCACAGGCCCUUAUAAUCCUUGGAUUUAGCUUCGAUCAUCACAAGCAUUCAAAUUAAAACCCCAAAUUUUCCUUAUAGAGAUAUACUCACUUGAUCUUUUUUUUCCGACAGGAAAGAUGGGAAGGACCCAUCAAUUUAUUUCAUGUUCUUGCUUGAAUUUUUCGUUUCCAACUCAAAUUACAGUCCAGAAAAAUUUCCAGCAGCUAGAUGGACUCUGGAUUAGAUCUCUCCCACUCCUAUCGCAAUCCUCCAACUUCCCAACCCAAAUGUUUCUUUGUAUGUCUAUGAAAUAUGAUGAGUUCUCGGAGGACUUGGAGAGUAGUCCAAUCACCUUUCCAAGGCCAUAUUUCGGAGUUUGAAAGAGAAAAAGGGAAUAAGUGGCUUUCAUUCUAGCCAUUUGGUUAUAAGAAAAAUCUUACUACGAUUUUAAUUUUAGAAAAUAAUAAGAAUUAUAUCCCAAUUUCCAAUGACCAAAUUCCGACUCUCUUCUCAUAUUCAAAUCUUAUCACGAUUGAGAAUAUAUGGCCAUGCUAAUUUUUACACCGAAUCUGAUUUCGAUCGUGAACUAGAUGCAUCAUAUGUGUCAACCACACCCCAACAAAGUUGGAAAAAGAAAAGCAUUAAAAAGACGGUAAUUAUUUUUGAAAAUGUUCUGCUAGAAUCCUAUCAUUUCAUUUAAAUUGACCCAAACAACGCCAUGAAGUUACUUCUGCGACUUUGUGCCUAGAGGAACCGGAUUCCCUUGACGUAGCAUCUGAGGCCAGCUCCCAUGUCGCCAUCCUUGGAGCCACUCGCGGGCCAGAUUUCUCUAGAUCUGAGCCAUAGAUCGGUCGACCUUAUCCCGUGUCAUGUCAUCAAUGGCUCUGAUCAGAGGACCACGGGUAGCAACCGAUAGACGAAAUGCAUCGCAGACGAGUGCAUUAGUGCAUCGAUUAGACUGCGAAUUGGCUUCUAUCGUUGCCUUCGGUUUGGCGAAUUUUGCCUCCCUUGGGUCGCACCAGAUCGCUUUCGCCCCGCUGACUACCAACCAGGAUUCGGGACGAAUGCUUCAAAGACAGAUAUUUUUAUAAUAUUGUCUGCUUAUCUGUUACGAAAUCAUUUUCCUAGUUAUUUUUUUUCUUCUUACUUUCAGUUUGAGUAAACAUCGCUCAUACAUCUCCUUGUGUAAGCCAGAUUGUGACCAUCACGUGCCUUUAUUUUCUUCCAAAAUAGUCUUUGCUGAGAGGAUCGUGUUCUCAUCGGUUGACCUUUUUCUGCAGGUGUAGACUUUAGAAUAUGCAAAGGCAAAGUUUCAUUAUGAGUGGGUCGUGUUUCCCUCUCAUAUCAGCAUCGGUACAACUUAAAAUCAGCUGUUGGGUCAAAUUGGGCUACCAGAAAACCCAACACACUCUUUUUUCUUAGGCUCGUUUGGCUCGCAAAAAAAAAAAGAAGGGAAGAAAGUGUGGUUAACUUAAAAGUAAUGAGAUGCUUCUCGAUUAGUUGGAGUUUUCAAAUGAGAGAGACGAAAAAAUUGUAUUCCUAUAAGAAUAUGAUUCCCACAUUUUAUGAAAAAGUCUUUUUUAUAAGAAACAUGGAAAAGUUACUUUCCCAUGAGUUGAGAAUCACUCCAUUUUUGUUUUCUUCCAAAAAAGCUCUUCAGCAUGAAAGAGGCAUUAAAGACCUAAUUUUUAUUAAGGGUAUAACAGAAAUUACACAUAACUUAUCCAGAAAAGUGAAUAAUCAACCAAACAUGCCAAAAGUACUUUUUCAGGUAUCCUCUUCCUAGAAAUCUGCUUUUUCAGGAAUCAUAUUUCUAGGCAAAAAAAUGUUUCCCGCGAACCAAAUGAGCCCUUAUUGUAUCCUUGUCAUCCGGGGAGUACACAUAACGGAAAGCCCUCAAUCAAGCUAGCCUAGUGACCAUGUAUACAUUAAGUUCAUCUUUUUUUAUGAUAAUUUCUCAUUUAGAUAGUAUAUAUCAUUAUUUUUUCAAUGUUAUGCACAAAACCAUAUGCUUGGAUUUUCAAAAUGGUUCAUUCUAUAAAUUUCUUCUUUAAUUGAAUACUAAUAAGUCGAUUAAAUGUUGCUCAUAUAUAUUUUUUACAGGAUAUUUAAAUUUAAAAUAUCUUUAAAGCAAACUUCAUUUUUCCGUAUGUUCAUUUGUGCGCACAUCUCUAUCUAGUUUUGCGAACAUCCUGUGUUUUAUGACCAAUCUCUUGCAUGUCAGUCCCCUCGUAGGCAAAAUCUUCAGAAGAAGCAGCCAAAAUGAAUGAAAAGGAGAGUGGGCAAAGGGUUAGAAGAAUGCUCCCGUUAUGAAACAAGAAGAGUAUAAUCCUGCUUCUGUUACAGAAAGAUUUCUACCAUGGAGAGUUAGGUUAAAAAUAUGAAUCUCUUAUUUUUAUAUAGAUUUAAGCACAGAGCUAAAAAAUUUUCUGCCUAUCAUAAAUUAAACGUUACAAAAUAGCUAUCAAGAGUGUAUGCAAAAUUAAAUUAUACAAAAUAUUACUGAAAUAUUUGCAAGAGUUCUAGAAGACUCGUAAAGCUUUUCAAGUUUCAUAAGUUUUUUUACUAAAAUAAAUAAUUUAUGUAGUUCUGAUACAAAUACAUCAAAUAAAACCAGAAUACAAUGACUUUUAUAGACUCGCCACGCCACACCAUCUCUCUAACCUUCCUUAGAAAGGCACGUGUAUAGCACGUGCAGUAUACUAGUUUCUUAUAAGCGCGGCUAGGUCCAGGCUGUCGAGGGUGCAGGCUAACCAGAAAAGCGGCUGGGUUUCGAAGAAUAUCGCGGUGGGGACUCGAGAAGAAGCGACGAAGAAGAGAGUGGAGAGGAGAAUCGGAGAUGCCGUGCCUCAAUCUCUCCACGAACGUGAGCUUGGAUGGGGUCGACACCUCGGCCAUCCUCUCCGAGGCCACCAAGACUCUGGCCAAGCUCAUCGGCAAGCCCGAAGCCGUCGGUGCCCCUCCUCUAAACCCCUCCCUCCGCUCUCAUCUCCUCCUAAUAUCAUAUCUUUUCCUUCCCAUAUCUCCGGAUUCUUUUGUGCUUUUUCCUUGUCUUGAUGCAUUUGAGCUGCUUUGAUGUGAAAGACGAUAUCUUGCUUGAGAUUGGAAACGAAUUUUUCCUAUUCUCUCGUCUUAUCCUGUCAAUGAGUCCUUCAGUAUACGUCUUGGUCUAAUUCUUGUUUGGUGUCUUUUUCUCACCAUUUAGAAGUCACAUGGUUUCGAUUAAUAUAAGAAUGAUCCGGUUUCUCUAUGAAAUGGAACCACUGCAUCGGGUUCUUAUCUGCGUUGGGUUACUGCCCUAUUUCUAUGCGGUGAAGACAGAGGUCUUGUUUCUUCAGAAAGUGAUCCUUUUAUUCGUGCUAGUUGAUUCGGUUUGGUUAAUGUGCUUCCCUUUUGCUAUUCAGUGUUUUUAAUGCAUUCUCCGAUAGAUUUAUGUGCGUACUGGAGAAUAUUAUAUAUGAUCGAAGAAGUUCAAUUUAUUAUCUGGGGAGGUUUAUCUUCACUUCUCUUAUGCAACCUAACUGGUUGUUACCAGUUAGGAGUAUAGCUUUGGUAACUUAUAAUGGCAGGUCAAGGAAGCAUGGAUUGACACCAAAAGGAAAGGUAUUUUCUAUAAAGCUAUACCACGGUACUUCAGAAAUAUCACUCAAAAAAAGUCAGGGAACACUUUGCUUCACUCAAUGACACCCUUCACGAUGCCAAUUUAAAGGGACAAGCUGUUUGACUUUUGGAGUGGCCUCUAUAAGUUAAUUGAGCAUUUUCUUCUUUUAUAUGUUGAGUUAAAUACUAAUCUGACGCCCCAUGGAAACUUGAUUCCUUAUUUAAAUACUAAUUUCCUUUUCUUUUUUCAUAAAAAUUUGAAAUAUUGUUGCUUCAAACUAAUUUGCUCCAUUUUUUCCCAUCCUAAAUUCUUUUAUUGCAUGUGGUUGCCUUGAUUUGACAUAUUUUAGGUUAAGAUUUAGUUGAGUUUUGAAUUUAAGUUGCCUGAAGAAACUAGUUCUUUUGGACACCAUAGUUACAUAUUCUGAGUGUUUUACUUUUAUGUUCCCUCUGUUGACAGUACGUAAUGAUAGUGCUCAAAGGGUCAGUACCGAUGUCAUUUGGAGGGACUGAACAGCCAGCUGCAUAUGGUGAAUUGGUUUCCAUUGGAGGCCUGAAUCCCGAUGUAAACAAGAAACUGAGUGGUGCUAUAGCUUCAAUUUUGGAAACUAAGUUGUCCGUUCCCAAGUCACGAUUCUUUCUCAAGUUUUAUGACACAAAGGCAAGCCAUCCGAACUUCUCUAGCUGACCCUAAAAUGGGUCAUUACUGGUUAAUUGUUUUUCUCAUUGCAGUUUCCUGUCUUUUAGGUCCACCAAACUCAAGAAUAUGCACAAUGUUUGCAUGCUUUGCAUCAGCAAUAAAUCAUGUAAAUAACCACUCACUGUUUAGAUAUUCCUAGUAUUGUGACCCAUGUUUAUCACCAUUAGUUCUAGUUUUGAGGUAUUUUUUUUUCCUUACUUACCUAAAACAUAGGUAUUCAUGGAUUUACUUUUUCUGCUUUGCAGGGCUCAAACUUUGGGUGGAAUGGUUCUACUUUCUAGGUUCAGUGCUUGCCUGGUCUGUUGCAUGACAUGUUGGAACAUAUGCAAUAAGCAAAAUGACUAUUAUUAACUUGAGAUUUUAUUUGGUUUGGUCUAACUGUGGUAUUUUGUUUUGAGCUUAUCUACAUAACCAUAUCAUGGCGAAACAUUAAGCUGAUAGUAUAAUGAUCAUCUUUGUCUGAACCAAUGGUGUUGACAAGUACUAGAUUCUGCAAGAUUUCUAUUUCAAUUGAUUGUGUCUUUGAUUAUGAUAAAGUAUCAUAUUUUGAUGAUUUGAUUUCAUUACUCACACCUCAGGUAGUUGAAUCCUAUGAAAAAUGUCUAGUUGCAGGGCAAUUUUUUAACUUAUGGUCAUAGUGUUGCUUUAUUUUAUUAGUCACUGUUAAUAUUGAAAACCCUCCAGAAAAUGACCAGGUCAUAGCGCGAGUCGAAAAAACAGGGGGACUGCAUUUUAUGCAUUGGUCAACUUGAAUGUUGUGUCAUGAUGCUGGCUCCAUGUAAUCUGUAUACGUCUUGUUGUUGCUAAAGAAUAUCACUAGCUAUAGCAAGAGGCAUGAGUGGUCAAAACAUUUACAUAAACUCUCUAGCUAGAAUUUUUGUUUUAAAAUGUUUCUAUUAGCAGCCUCACAGUGGUUUAGUUGAGUAUUUUUCUGAUGGUUCUUGUGCUCACAUUACGAAAAGCUUGUAAGAAAUGGUUAAUUGUUCCCCAAUACUUGUUCAUGCAUUUUUGUUGACUAGAGCAUGAUGUGUGUGAUGCAUGCAACGUGCAGUUGUGGAAGGAGGGAGCUUCAUGAACAACCAUUAGAAAAAUUUGAAUUAAGUAGUAGAAUAAACUCUGUUUCCAAUCUCAUAGUAGCACAACCCAUCCAAUUCUGUGUCCUUUUGUGCCCACUUUCUUAUCUGGACGGUUGUCACCAGUUCUAUAGAUGUUAUAUGAUCUAGGAGAACAAAAGAAUAAGCUUCCUGGCUGGAGAAACAGAUGCGUUUGUAAUACAGAAAUAAGGGCUGUCUCUUUGACAGUGCAUUCUUCUUUAAAUGUUUAGCAGAAUAUGAUUCGCCUGUUUACUCUAGCUUAUAGAAUGAGGCAACUCCUCUCACCUAUCUUUAGGCUAAAAUAUUUAGGACUGAUGUAUGUUAGUGCUAGUGGAGCAAUAGGAUCACCCAUCACCAUUACAUAUUUGGGAAUUUGUUUAUCCUAGCAUGGAUAAUUAGGUGUUUAACAAGUAUAAUGGUGAUGCGUAAUUUCAUAGUUCAUGCAUUACAACCAUACAGAUCAUUGUCUAAGCACAAAUAUACAUGAUAGCAACACACUCUUGCUGUUUAGACACAGAUGAGUGUCAUGGAUCGUGAUCCUAUGCUACUUUUGGAAGGGGAAGAUAGAGCAUUUCUCUGAACUCCAACCUCCUUGUUUCGCUGUAGAAGGUUCUUUGUCUGUUGGGCCAGUAGGUUAACCAAAUCCAGCCUUUGAUUUCCCACUCCAUUUUCUUCCCUAAGGCUCCUCCACACACCUUCCACCACACACUCUCUCCAUACUCAUCUCCUGCAAAGAUUACUCCUCCUCGUUUUGUAAAGGGCCUGUAGGCACUAGAGUAGCGGUCUCUAAACCAUGUCCUUGGUUGAAGUAAUGACAAUUUUGAAGGCUUGGAAGAGAAAACCUCUCUGCCGUGCACCCCAUCGCGAAGAAACCAAUUCAAAAUUGCACUACCACCAUGUGCUGAUUGUUCAAAUUUCCAUGGUUUCAUGCUCAUAGUGACAGUUUCUGUGGCUGAAACUUUGAAACCCAAAUAAGAAUUUGGGGGAUCAAAUGAGCCUUCAAGGGUCUUCUCGAGGCCAACUUCAUGAAUUGGAUUGUCAGAAGAUUUGCUUACUGAAACUGACAUCACAUCAGACUGCAGGGUUGGUGUGAGUCGCAAAGAUAUACGAGAUGGAAAGUGUUUCUCCUCAGUCCCAUAGCCUCGUUCAGCCAUUAGAGUUUCAGAUACCAGUGGGUUCACAUCGCAUCUGGCAUAAGUGAAAUGAGUAAGGGUGCAUCUAAUUGGAUUAUCACUUAUUAGAUAACUAAAUUCUACAGAGACGUGCAGUUCAGCUGGAUACGAUGCAUGCCUGACAUUAUAGUAUAGAUACGGACUAUUAGGGUGCUCAGGAUAGAUUCUCAGGAUUGUCCUAUUGUUUACUAUCUGCAACUGGGUUAUUUAGAGCUAGAUGAUGCACGCCAGUUCAUUCAUAGAUACAUGUAGGAUUUGAAUUGAUAAGUAGUGCACUAACCUUACGUUGUCCACAUUCACCACCACAUCAAUCCAGUUUUCCCGUAUGAUGACCUUGUAAGCGAGUUGGAUCACCCCUUCAAGCUGUUGGUACUUCAAAGAAAAGAGCAGACGUUCAUCCUGAGUUGCAGCAGUAGGAUUUUCAAUGCUCAUGGCAAUGAUUGGGCAAUAUAACUGCACUUUCCAUAGCCCACUAGCGGAGAAAGCAUAUGAAAACAGAGGUGAAGGUGUUUUGAAUGAGUGAUUGAAAGGUUGAAACUCUUGAAUCCAGUUUGUUAUGGCAAGGUUUAAGGAUCUCAUCCACUGCUCUUCGAGGUUGGAUCCGAGGACCCGCACGAGAAGCUUUGAUGCUUCUCUGCACCUUGAGGAGGUUAAUUGAAUCCGCAAAGUGUCCAGGCAUCCCUGGCGAAGGUUGUUAGGGGCUUCAUAGAUGCAGAUGAGGAAAGCAAGUGUGAGGAAUGCUAGAUUGAACACAUCUCUGAAAUCUUCUGUGGUUUCUACUGCAGGGAAUCUGAAUGAAGUUUUCUUAACGGGACCAUACAUAAGAACGCCAUUGAUGAUAUCAAAGAAGAGAUGGAGGACAUCUUCUUCUUCUAUAGAAGGCUGAGUUUUGUUUUUCAGGUGAAUAGGACUGGAUGUCCAGAGGGGGAUCGGCAUAUUAAAAUCUGCAUAGAUAGAGAAGGAGACAUAUGGGUUUUGGCUUUGGGAGCUUCUGGUGACUGAGAGAUUCAUAGAGGGAUGUGUUGAUCCUAUGGUACAGAUGCAAAGAGACAUGACAUUUGUGUUCCAUUGGGUGAUUGCGGGAAGGUUACUGAUCCAUCCCCAUACAUCAGGAACAAAACUAGAAGCCAUGGAAAUGAGUUUGUAGUCUUAGAAAUCCCUCCGUCUGAUACAUCCAAAACUUAGGCAAGGGAUUAUAUAGCUGCAAACUAGAUAUCCACUGAGACAAAGAAGUCAAAAGGUAACUCAACACUGAUUCCACCACGUGAGAGUUUGCUAUCGUGAUAAAGUAGAUUCUUGAUGUGCGAGAGGGGAACUAAAUAUUUAGUGCAGUAUUAACUUUUUCUUCUUUUCUUCUCUUCGGAAUGUAUAACAGAGAAGUGGUAUUUUGAAUGACGACGACUAUCUGUUUCUAAUACCAUCUUCUCUGGCUUCAAAUUCCCUUUGACAAAAUCAUCAAACUUAUUCAUGUGUCUCGGAUAUUGCAUAUGGGAAAACUUAAAAGUAUUCUCUAAUACUGAUAGUUUAAAUCUAUCCAUGAUGUUAUCCUAUAAGUUAGGCAAAAGAGAUAACUUUGUACUUUAAUUGGUGGAUGAGGAACAAUGUGCUGUUCCAUACAUGCUUAGAAAUAUUCGAUUUAGAUAGGAAAGUGAAUUUGGUCCAUACCCAUUGCACAAUGGCUUCCCUUUUCAUGGAAUCGAUUCUGUUCCACUCUUUGUGAGCACAGCACAUGUAUCUUCCUCAUUAAGCUUGAACAAGCUUUUUCUUUGAAGUGAGCCUAACUUAUGCAUUAUUAGACAAGUUAGGAUUAUAUUCUUGACUUUUAGUACUUCUCUUGUUGAUUUUGAGUCUUAACAGAUUUAUGAACCAAGGCUUGAAAAGGGACUCAUUUAUUGAUGUGGAUUACCAUUCUGAGCAGCAGCUUUUCUUGUUAUCUUGUAAGUACCCUUUCUGAGGGAGCAACCGUUUGCUUUACUGAUAAGAGCUCAUUAAGGUCAUGCUGGAGAAAGUGCAAAAAUCCACCUAAUGGACAAAGUUGGGGGAUUUAGAGUAUCUGUGUUUUUCUGCUCUCAAUCAAGGUCUUGUACCGGAUAGGUCCAACCCCAUAUAUUCUCUCUCAAAUAUUUCUCGUACUAGUAUUUGUGAAGUACGUCCAUAAAGAGAUUUUUUUUUUUGCAGUUUCCUGUAGUUUUGACUCGAUUAACAAGUUCUUCAGCUGGUUUUGCGCAAUAUGAUUAAAAUGAAUUGAUAUCAUUUACUGCUUUCUUGGUCUUUCUCAAUAGAAGCUUGGAAUCCAGCAGUUUCCAUCCUCUCCCUCUUUAUUUCGGGUGAGCGGCUGAAGGUCUGGAUGGUGGAUGUAACUGCAGCCCCUCUACCGCUGCCAUAGCUGGCCCGUGAAUUUUUUGACAAAAAGCUCGCCAGAUACCAGUGAUGACAUCAGCCCAGAGUGAUUGAAAACGCUUUGAUCUAUGGUGGUCUUAUGCUGUAUCGCAAUCAGAUUAUGGGGCAUACCAGAACAUCACAUGACUGCAAGAUUAAAAUCGAAAUUAUAGUCAUGAAUGUGAAAACUAGAACAACUUGCAAUAGAUGAACACAGAAUAGGAAAUAUCAUGAAAAACUAUGAACCGGACAAAUUGACACAAAUUCGAGCUUGAUUCAAACUAUUCAAAAUCCAUGAAUGUGUCUGUAUAAUAGAUUGUAUUUGCUCUAUGACUUGUUGAGGGAUUAGCUGGGUUGGUCAAAUGAAUCUGCUUAAGGUUGAUUUGGUUGUCUGUAACUGAUAUAUGAACCUACUUCAUGUCAGGAGGAGCCUAUUUUGAGUAUUUGAUUGGCCUGGAGUGGAGCUACAGCAAGUUUCCGCAGCACUCCAAUUUAGAUAAAAAUGUCUCAAGUGGCGGAUAGGGCUCACGAAUCCACCGUUGAAUCACGCAUCUCAUAGAUUUUAAAGCAUUCUGAACUUUAUCAUUCACCCGCUUGCACAUGUCCAAAGCAGCCGAUGGGUAAUCCAAUGGUGGAUUUGCAUGAAGAAAGGUGGAUCCUUUCGUGAAAGAUACAAUCCCCUAUGCCAAAGUGGCUUCGAUGUAGGGAGAGAUUUGAAGCUAUUUUAGUGAUGCGGGAGCCAGUUUAGUUUACUUGGAACAAGCCAAAUGGUGCUUAUGACUUGAGUUGUACUUCGUUUCAAACCCAAAAUUAUGUGCCCUACUUGCACCCUCGGGUGAAGUGAAAAAUAAAACAAAAGCGCCGAAUGGAGAUGAACUAAAGGAAAGAAUGCUUCCAAAGGUCAAGGGCAUGGCACUUGACGCUGGCUGUGCCGCCUCGUAACAAAAGAACAACUUGUUUGGUCUGCAAGUUACGAACUUACGAUGCCUCUCAUCUCCGAUCCGGUUGUAUUGCAGGAUGCAAAAGAUUCUAUUAUUUUUCGACAGGGUGGAGCCGAUUCGACUCCAAUUUGUUAGAAUUCGGAAACCAUCGGGUCUCGUUAUAUUUUAACGUACAAACCAACGACUAAAGCAUUAGACCAGCGAAGCCAAGCACAAGUCCAAAACCACUUCCCCUCCGUCUUCUCCUUUCUCCUCUCUCUCUCGGAAGUCAAAAACCCAAAGACAUUCUAGUCUCAUGGACUCCAACGCCUCGCCGCCCAUCCUCCCCCUCUCCGCCGGCCAGCCCGCCGCCUCUUCCGCCGCCGGCGCCGCCUCCACCGCCCCGAUCUCAACCCCAGCCUUCCGCCGCUUCAUCUCCCGCCUCUCCGACUCCACCCGCCGCUCCCUCGCCAACCGCCGUCCCUGGUCGGAGCUCAUCGACCGUUCCGCCUUCUCCCGGCCGGACUCGGUCUCCGAGGCCACUUCCCGCGUCCGCAAGAAUCUCUCCUACUUCCGUGUCAACUACCUCACACUCCUCGCCGCCGUCCUCGCCCUCUCCCUCCUAUCCCACCCCUUCUCCCUCCUCGUCCUCCUCUCCCUCCUCGGCGCCUGGUGCUUCCUCUACCUCUUCCGCCCCGCCGAUCCCCCGCUUGUCAUCCUCGGCCGCACCUUUUCUGACCGCGAGACCCUCGGCGCCCUCGUCCUCCUCACCGUCUUCGUCGUCUUUCUCACCUCCGUCGGAUCUCUCCUCAUCUCCGCCCUCAUGGUCGGCGCUGCCAUCGUGGCCGUCCACGGUGCCUUCCGCGUGCCGGAGGACCUCUUCCUUGACGACCAGGAGCCAGGCGGUGCCGGCUCAGGCUUGCUGUCCUUCCUUGGCGGAGCCGCCGUCUCCGCCGGCCCUGCUGUUGGCGUCUGAUCUGGAUCUGACGGUUGUCUCGGUUGCGAUCGUUGAGGUUUGUAACUUAGGUUAUCCCCUUCUCUUCCCCUUACCUUCUAUUGAUGCUUUGGUAGGUAGGAGAAGAUAUUCUUGGAUAACUAGGGUUUAAUUAAUAUUAUAAAUUAGAUCGGGAGAGAUUUACGACUCUGGAUUCAUGUAACUAUUUUUGGAUGAUCAAUGCUUACAAGUUGUUCUCUCAAUGUAUCAGUGGCUUUGUUUCAGAUCUAUGGAAGAAUCUUUGCUGAUUUUAAUUGCAUUUAUUCUUUUGUUAUAUUUCUUAUCAAGAAAUUAUCUUUCCUUAUGCUGAUUUAAUGUGGUUGUUCUGUGGGAAUUGAGAUUAGAUCUAGCUGUUUUGUGUCUCUUACUCCUCUCAGAUUCAUCUUUUAAUACUUAGCAUUUAUUUUAUAUGAAGAUCUAAUGAUUAAUAACUGGCAAUUUCAGAUCUGGGAACAGUGAUAGGAAUUUUAAUUAUAGCUUCUGGGACUUGAAUUCUAGAUCUUGAUGUAUCUGGUGUACAGGCUGUUGUGUUUUGCUUAGAGAUGAAAAUGAUUUUGGAAUUUAUAUAAUUUCCAAAAUUUUCAUGGUAUAUGCUCAAGUUUUCGAGUUACCACAGACACUUUUUCUGCUGGCUGUUUGACAUGUGACCAAUAGGGCCUUGUCUUUUAUUAUUGUGUUUGGUAAUCAUGAUCUUUUUGUUGGCAUAAUUUUUUAGUGCAAGGGAUUUAUUUUUACCUGUGGGUUGUAAAAUCAGAAGAUUCUUAUGAAAUUCGCUUCACAAACAUUGCUGUUUGUAUUAUAACUACUGUUGUGUUGUCACUUUUACUGUGAUGCAAAUGACUGAGGACAUCUUAGAUACCUUGAUGCUCAUAUAGGGUUUAUCAGUCAUCAGACAUCUAGCGAACAUAGGCUUGGAAACUUAUGUCAGGGAGUUGUAAAAAUGAUCUGUUUUGGUAGGGAAGUUCGAGUAAGUUUUUCCAGUACAUUAUGAUGUCCUGUGAUUGUCAAGGAAAAAGGAUUCCAAAUUAUGAUGCAUCAGUGACUAAUUAUUUAGAGCUUCUUAGGUAUAAUUUGUUCUGCUAUUCUGUUUUGACUAUAUUGUAACUUAUUUUGACUUUGAUAUGGAUACAUGUGGUGGAAACUGCUGCAUGGAUGCUUUUGUUGAAAACAUGAUAUGCAUUUUUUGUUAGUUAACUAGGGCUCUUCCUGUAAGUUUCUUACAAGAGCUGAUGCUGAUUGAUACUCUUUAAUAUUGAUUUUAUAAAGAAGCUGUUGAGCCGAUCAGUGAUCUCUUAUAGACUUUUUUACAAGGCUUCCAUUUCCAAAAGUAUAGAUAGUUUAUAUGCAGGGAGAAAAUUUUGGAUUUUAUACAGAAAAUUCUGUUACAGCAGUGUAAGUGGUGCGUGCCCUCAUUGCUUCUUUGGACAGGAGAUUACAAAUCACCUAUUGACUGGAGAACUUUGAUAUGCCUACAAGCACAUCAAAGAAGUGGUACAGGGUAAGUGGCUGUCCUAUAUCCUUUUUGGUCUCGGAAGCAGUACCUCCUAACAAUCAGCACCUUGUGGGCCUAUUGCUCCUUGUCAGUUUGGUAGGGGCUGUUUGGUUGACAGAUUUUAGUAAAACAAGUUUACAAAAAAAUUCAAAAUGAAUUAGUUUACAAAAAUGAUAAUUUAUUUUUUAUCUAUAAAAUCUGUUUUGCCAAAAUUGUUGAGUCAUAAGACCUGAAAACUGAGUUUUAUAUAGGUCUCUCCCUAUAUUUUUAAAAGCUAUUUUAGAGAAAGUCAUAUUUGGUGAUUGUCUUUUUAGAAAAACCCACAGGCACCAAACAGCCCCUUAAUGUUAUAGCAUAAUUGAAAUUGCUACUCCGGAAAAAUCUGUCAAGUUUACAAGAGAUUGUGCCGGAUAUUGCCCAAAAGAAAAUCUUACAAUGAACUGGUGGAAUGAGGGACCCAAGUAGAAAAAGAAAACUGCUGCAAUGAAAGUUUAUCCACUGCAAUUAUCUCUUUUUCAGGUUCCAGAAAGGCAUCUCUAUCUUCUAGUUUAUUGACUUUUGAGUUUAUGAUUUAGGUCUUUUUUGCUAUAUUAGGUAAAUUCUGUAGCUAGUGAUCUUGAACCAGAUACUUUGUUUCUUGGACUUGCUUUUGGUGCUUCGUUCUCCUUUUUGAUAAUCUUUUGGAUGAUGGUCUGACUGGACUCAUGCUUCGGUCCUUGUUUAGCUGUGAGGUGACCUCUCGCCUUCAUUUUCCUCUUAUCUUUUUUUCUCAAAAAAAUAAGCUCCAUCUUUUUUUUAAUGAAGGAUUGGUGUUGAAGGGCACCCUCACCAAUAGAAAAUGAAGUGGAGUGUGUGGAAAUAAAGAAAGGGAAAAUCCAGAAAAUGAUAUUUUUUGAGGUUUUUCCAGCACUAAGAUACCUAAGGCAGUGGUGGCGAAAGGAUGAAUGAAGCGGAUAUGCUCUUCUACGGUGCUGUGAGUCAAAGAAUGGCAGUAUAGUUAACAGCACCAAGCAUAACUGAGGUUAUGAUUAUCUUAAGCCUUGGAAUGUCUGGUAAUUUACAUAGAUGAGGAUGCAAGAGAGAUGAUAUUAAGAUGAUGGAUGUGGCCAUGUGGUGGUGGUGUUCAAAUCUCUAGAGAACAAGAGGGGGAGACCGGCUAUCUAUGCUGAAGUCAUAUGAGUAAAAUGGAAUCCAUAUGCAUCAGAGCAGACUAAGAUUGGAUUUUAGUUUAUCGAUUCUUAUCUAACAUGUUACAGGUUUCUAGUUGGUAUUAUGUCUCCAGUCUCGUUCAGUUGUUUGUUUUAAAAAAAGGAAUUGGCGCUUUCAUGAUGCGGAAUGACCCUUUCUAAGUCCAUAUUCCAUAUAUGAUAUAGGUUUAAGCCAUACUUUUCACAUCAUCAUUCUGUUCCUGAUUAGUCGAGGAAAAAGAACUGGUCGCCCAUUAUUUGUGUACAUAAUGGAUAGUUAUGUCUUUCAUGCAUAUGACUGUGGUCGCUUUACUCAGGAUCUUGAAAAGCCAGAAGUUAGGUCAUGACUAUCCUUUAAACUUAACUCAAAAAGAGAGCCUACAACUGAAAAGUCUUCAGCAUGGUAAAGUUAGUAUGGAAUUUCAAAGUCAGUUGUGCCUGCUAUAAUUGAAUAUAGACUGCAGGUCAAAAUUUACAGAAAGCCACACUGGGAAUGAUGCUUUUUAUUUGGAAUAUGGUAUCUGGACGAAGGGUGACAACGCGAUAUUUUUUUAGUUCUUUCCCGUAAAGUCAAGGUCCGGUGAAUAAAUGUUCGGUUUAUUGUCAUCGUAUCCGGUACCUCUUUUUUGGGUUAACAUGAUAUGCGGUACUUUCCCUUGUGUUCUUUGUACAAUUAUAUGAAUGACUUCUUUCUUCUUUCUUUCUUUUUUGCUUUUUAAUGGGAAGUCCAGCAACGAUUUUUUGGAAUAAGUGAGAAGAGGUAAAAAGGUCAAAAAGUCUUAUAUGGUGGGUACUCAUUUGAUCUUCUAGUUGAAAGGGAAUCUUCCUGUUGGGUUUAAAAUGGAAUAAAACGUAUUCACCAAGCUCAUUUAGAAUUUUGUCCCAUUACGUAACAUAUGUAAUGAUAUGGUGGUUGCUUUUGUUUACACAGCUAGUAGAAAUGUGGUGAAUAAAAUUACAUACAUGAUCGAGAUAAUGAAUUAUUUGGAAGUAGAGGGCGAGCUUCUUUAGUUCUCUGUCCUUAAGGUGGGGGAUUAAAUUUGUUGAAGUUUUUGAUAAAGGAAUGUUUAUCUGAAUGUAGUUGAAUUUUAAGCAAGGCCAUAGUUCUUGAGUUUUGACAUUGGUCUUGUAGAUAAUCGAUUUCUGACUUAUUAUUUUGGAUCCUUUUUCAUUUAGUUGAGUGAUACACUCAAAUGGUUGCAAGUAGGUGGAUAACUUGCAGCCUGUUUGGUAUUGUUGUUUUGUGAUUUGUUUAUCUAUAAAUUAGUGAAAUAACAUGGAGAUUGAUGUUGAAGAUAGCUUUACACAAGAUUUCUGCCAUCCCUUGUUUUUACUUCACUUUUUUUUAAAGUAAUAAAUCUUUGCUCUCAAAAGUUCUAGACAUUUUACAAAUAUUUUUAAAAAAUAAAAAGUUUUCAUCAUGCAUAUUCAAUCUAGUUUGUUUUUCAUCUAGUGCUGUCAAAAACGAAAACAGGACAAAAGCAAUACCAAUCUAGCUCUCAUGGAUUGAUUUGUAACUUGAAGCUUCUAAGCUAUUUAACAUUAUUACAGCUACGACCAUGCAAUGUUUUAAACAAUUGGUGGUCAUGACAUACUUAGGGCGAUGGUAGAACAUGUUUGAUCUAUUGUUGACCCAUGGGCUUUUGGUAUGGUUUCCUCCGUUUUUGAGAGAGAGUGUAACGUGGACUCCAGCUGAAGAUAGGCCUACCAAAAGAACCAAAAAAAAAUCAUUGCUCAUCUACUAUAUCUAUCUCAAAUGGAGGCUAGCUUGUGCUGAGCUUUCCAUAUUAAAAAGAUAAUGUCAUUAAUACCCUUUUAAUAUUUGAGUAAGACUCUUACAGCUGAUACAGGCGAAAGAUAGGCAUAUAAUGAUACUUGUUUAUUAUCCAUCUAUUAUUUAUUAUUUAUACAUAUAUCAAAAAUGGAGGCUCGAUUUGAGAUGGGCUCUCUAUCACCAUGUGGAUGCGCAUACUAAUAAUAUUAGUAGUAUAGUUUUUUAGUUUAAAUGAUAAACAAGACUCAAGAGAAAAAUAGAUAUAUAAUAGUCAUUUAUAUAUCUGUUGUAAGUGAGUAUUAUAUUAUAUAUUUUUUAAAUGAUAUGGCAGUAUAAGUGGUAGUUUACCAUUUGUAAAAUUAAAUAUCAACCAUACUUAUAUAAUUGAUAUAAGAAUAUUAUUCGGUAAAAAUAGAUAAGUAUUAUAGUUAUCUAAAACAAUAUUGCCAUAUUUGAUGGAAGUUUCAGCCCCAUCAUCAUUAAAAUUACUUACUUAAUAUACAAUAAAAAAAUUAGCUAUUUAAGUUUUUUAUUUAUUAUAAUAUAUCAUAUUAUUGUAUUAUAUUUUGAGAAUAGUUAAAAAAAGGAAAAGAAUUAUAUCUCGAUGCAUCUUAGGAUUUGUAUUGGUGAUUACUAAUAUUAAUGAUGAUAGAUUUUUCAUGAAGGCUUAGCCUAUUUUUGGUUCGGUAUGUAGAUGAUGGUAUCGAUGACCGAAGUUUCUGCUCAACAAUUAUGAGACAUUGCGGCGAAGGCCGGAAGGCUGGAGCUUUGGGAUGAUGAGGGUGGGGCAGUUUCGACAAGGUGUUACUAUACGUGGAGGGCAUUGGUUGGGAGAUAGGAUGGGGCUACGCCUCCCCAGGCGCUGGUGACCAAGCAGCCGAGAUCCCAUCGAUCUUGUCAAGAUGCUGACCUCCACGAUGACAAGCAUGGAGGCUCUAACGAGGUAGAGAAGAUGCCAAAAGAGCCACCAAGGUGGUAGUCUGGACAGCAAUUCUAACCAUAAGGUCCCAAGUUCGAAUCGCUGCGGCGACGAUUAAAUUAUGGACCGGAGCUUACUACUUUGGCCACUGCUUGGACUUGUGGUGUAGGACCGCUCUUGAACCGCUAGUAGAGCUCAGAGGAGUAGCUGAGCCGGGCCCACGGGUGGAGAGGGUAUGAGUAAAAUUGGUCGGGGUGCCCAACACACGGCCAUUUCUGCCCGCAUCGAAUAUUCUCCUGGCGGGGCGGGGGCCCAGUUGGGGGCUGCUAUGUGGGGGUGGGCUUGUUUCUUCCUCCCCCUACCCCUUUUGUAUUAGCAAAAAAAAAAGGGAGGGACAUAGCCUUAUGUCAUGGACGCAGCUGAGUAAAGGUAGCUGGCAGGAUAGUUGGCCUAGACUAAUAAAUUCAAUAUGAUAUUUUUUUAUUAGUGAAUGUAAAAUGAUGAUAAUUUUUUAUUUAAUUUUUUAAUAUAUUUGUCACGGUUUGACUUUUUCUCGAAAGGGCUCACCUAUGGCUCGAGUCCUCUUCGACCCAAUUAGGCCCUUCUUGACCUUAGUGAAUAAUCUACCUGGCUAAUAAAAUUUGCAACACAUAAUAAACCCAACUCCGAUUCUUCUUGUUAUGGAUUCACAUUCCAAAAUGAUCAUAUGGCCCCGCUUCCUCUAUCUGUGACCCACAUCUUCCCUUUUUUUGCUCUCUUUUCUUUUUCUUUCUUUACUUUUGUUAACAUAGGAAAGGAGCCCAUCAGAAGGCGUUAGGAGAUAGGCUGGUGGGUCCAAAUAAUAUCCACGUGGAUUGAGCCGGACCAAUAUAGAGCUCGUAACUGAGAAACGGUCACACAUAAUUGGUACUCCUUCGAACCAAAUCAUUCCUAUCAAGGUAUGCCGUACCGGCUCCGUCCUGAACCGGUAUCGGGUCCUGAACCGGUAUCGGAUCAGCAUAGAAUCUGAUACCGGAAGCUUAUCGGGAAUGCGGAACCCUAAAACUCGGCCGAGAGUGGUACAAGUUGGUACAAAAUCGGUACAAUGCUGAUAUCGUACCAGUUUAGGCCGCCAUCAGUAGCUGAUCGAUACCGGUAUGGUAAAUCUUGCUUUCAACUUUACGUUUCCCGAUGCCAGAUUCCAUCUAAUUUUCAUUCAUAUGUAAAUUCUUCAUGAUGCUCUGACCGCAGGGGUUUUCCAGUGUGAAGCAGUUCUCAUGCGCAGAUAGCUUCUGCAGAUAGAUUUUCAGCACACUAACAAUUCUUGUAACCUAUUGGUAGGAGGGUAUCUCGCACCAAAACGCAGGUACACAGACACGGUUAGGACUGGAAGAGACAGGGUUAGGACUGGGAGCCACAAAGAACGAACCUAUCACCACUUAAAUGUUACAACAGAAACACACCAAAACAUGGCGCUCGGACACCACGGAAUUUUGUAGGUCAACAAUAACUCCUUCCAACUGUUAAAAUAUGCAUUCACAAUCAUUUCUUGUAACAGCACCCUCCCCCUAAAGAAAAAAAGAGGGCUAAAGAACCAUAUACCCAAAGUAACGGAAUGAAGUAAAAUAAAAUAAAAUAAAAAACUUCACCAAAAUCUGUUUAAGAGUAGUUGGUUCGGCUAGAAAAACACUUCGAUUUACAUUUUAAGUCACAUUUUAAGUCUUGUUAUUCUCUCGAGCGUACCCCCUUGUUUCUUCCGCCACCGCUGCCCAAACAUUCGCACCUUUCUCUGCAUAACCAACCUGUUUAAAAUGCAAUAUGUAAGUGCUUACAAAUGGCCAAGUUCCAUACCGAAUAAGCAAUAACAAAUGAAACAAAUUUAUGAUCAAACGAGAGCUUCCUAAUAGCAAAUGUCAACUAGAUGGUUGAUUGUUCCAUUUCAUGUUCAAUACCAAUUGUGAGCCAGCCCAGGAAAGGACGUAGAAAGAUCAUGUGCUCAGUGCAGCUUCAUUGAGGCAUAAAGUGAUAGUGCGCAUGAUGACCCUUGCAGCCCCCAUGCCAGUCAAAUCAUGAAUACACUAUGUAAUUCUGACAAGGUAUCAUGUAUCAUGUGGGGAAAACUGUCAUUUAAGCGUUACUGAAAGAGGUGGUAAAUGUCCUAGAUUUGCUUAAUUCCUUCAGCUAAACAAACAGUCAUCCAGUUUAUGCUUCCAUAAUAAUUCCAAAGCAUUAACAGCGUCAGCUGCCCUAAAAGUAGAUCUCCGUUACAUUAUUCAUGAAAAAGAGGGAUGAGACAAAAACAUAAGGGGUUGUAGAACUGUAACCUUAAAACAAAACCAUUAUGUUCUGUUCAGAAACCUUCUAAACUGCAAUCAAUAUGUCAAGUUUCGCAUUAGUUUUAUUUAAUAGAAUUACAGCACUUGUAUUCAAUAUUAAAUCUUAAAUUUCUUCCAAAGGAUCAUUGUUCAAGGAAGAUUAGUGUCCUGAAAUAUAACAUCCCUAUGCACCCAAUAAAUACCAAAAAAGUACAGAUUAGAUGAUACUAAACAAGGGCAUGAAAGAAGAGAUUUAGGAUAUCUAGGAAGAUUAUAGUUUUCGAUCCUAGUAAUGUUUGUUCGAUGACCCUCAGAAGAUAGAAGAGAAAGGACCACCUUAAAAUGAACUUCUACAUCUUAUAAUUUAAAAGUUUCAUGCUAACACUAAUGAGCAACAUAUUCAAACAAAGAAGGAAACCUUCAACCAAAGUACAUUGACAAGCAUAGUCUCUCAAUAAAAGGAUGAAUUAACCUUUUGUGAGUUUCUGUCAAUUCUUUUAACUAACGCCCUGCCAUCAGUCAUCAGUUUUCAUUUUGCAACUCAAAUAAGAGUUUCCUACCGUCCUCAGUAACCAUCAAACACUUGGAGACUGGUCCAUAUGAAACUGAUGAAUUACUUCACAGACAUAGAGCCUUACAUUUUUACUUCCUUUUUUAGAGAGUAAAGGUAAAGCAUUUUCGAUUUCCCAAUGGCUAUUCUAUAUAUUGUUCUUGAAAUGUUUGGAGACUAGAAACUUAGGCAUAAUUGAGUGAACAGAAACUAAAACUUGAUUCUAUGCACUAUCCGACAAUCAUCAGGGUUAAAAGAGAAUGGAACAUACUUCACUGAAUAUAAUUGAUAGUCAAACAUCUAAUAUUUUGAAGCCAUUCAGCAAAAAGUAGUACCUGAUUUAUUACAAAACCCUUCAGCAUGCUCAGAAAAUCAUCAUGCCUUUCUCUGUCUAAUCUCUCAAGUUCACUCCGGUUAUUUUCCUGCAUUACAUUAAAAACUGAAUCAGAGAUGUGCAUCUCCAAGUUGAAUCAUAAUCCUAAAAUCAAACAUUCUAAUUCGUAGAAAUACAUGCAUCAGAUAUCUCAAUGUGGGUCCAUUUUGGAGGAAUCAUAUCAGGCAAGAAGCAACAGGAGAGGGGGAUCAACAAAGACAAAGCAAAUAAGCAUAUUGUUUAUGUUGAAAUAUAAAAAGUAACAUAAAAAAAUGAAGUACAGAAGAUCCCAGAUUUCAGAUUUGUCAACAAAUUUACAAGCAAAAUAUAUGCAUUUUUAGAUGUUAAAUAUAUUAAAAUAAUGAAUGAAAACAUGCUCCUAUUGAACUAUCUUACACAAUAUUCUGAAAGAAUUUUUAUUUUAUAUAAAAGGCGAGCCUCAAUAGUCCAUUCAGCUGAAACAAAUAUCAUUUCUUAGCAUAUAUAACAGGAACUCUUGAGCACCUAUCGAUUAUCCAUUAUACAUUCCAUGGUUUCCUCACAUAUCACAUGAGAAAAGAAACAUGAUCUCUUUUAGCAUAUCUUUGUUGGAAUUCCAAUGCUACAUAAUCUCUAUUUCUAGAAAAUGGUUGCUGCAUAACUCUCCCAAUUCCACCUCUCCUUUCUCUCUUAGCAUAUUAAAAAGUUUCUAUUUUUAGAAUAAACAAGAAAAAACUUUAGUUACAGCCAACCAUGUAUGCAUGAGUAAAAUUGUCUUCUUUUCAAUUUUAUGAGGUAGCAGUAUGAAUGAUGCUGCUACAACAAACACAUCAGGUCAACAUUUAAGAUGAGCCAUAACCAAGAACAGACCUACUAGCCCAUAAGCUUACGGAGGCACAUAGUUGAAUUUAACCGCUAGAGAAAUAUAUAUAUGGCUAAUGUUAAGAAUUCAAAAGGGUAAGAGAUGAAAAGCAAUGUGUCUGAAUUUGAAGUGACAUAUCAUGCACCAAAAAGACAGCAAAACUAACCAAAACGUAAUGCAUAAUGACAGAUGAACUACAAUGAUGAUGACAUUAGAUUCAGCUUUAUGAAAAUAGAGUCAUUCUUUUUAAGUAGACUAGGUGAAAGGAAAUUUCUGAAGCACAGAAGAGAGAUUCCAUGGUCAGAGUAGACCAUAUUUUUAUCAGAUAGUUGGAUCAGCACCUCAGAACACAUUCGUGCAGUUAUAAUCAAGCUCCCAAAUAUGCAGCUAAUUUGCAGCAACAGAGUUGUUAUAAGAGAUGCGAGCAAGCAAGGACCAGUCAUAUGUAUGGAGUCCUGGUAACAAUAAUCUUGAAACAAUUUCACUGUAUCAAGAAAAGGCUCAUCAUAAAACAUUGAAAUUUAAAGCAUAAACUUUACUUAUCAAAACGGAGUGCUUCUUUACCAACUCAACAUAUUUUCAAUAGACAAGAUCAUCGAAAUUUGGCUGUCUUCAAGAUAGAUAUUGUCUGGAAUAGGAAAAACAGCAGUUUGAAGGACGAAAUCAAGGCCAAAAUGUUAAUGAUAAUUAAAUUUAUUCUAUAACAAUCUAAAACCUUUUAGACUAAUCUUCCAUGAGAUUUUUUUAUUCAAUUUAAAGCCUUUCAACUUACAAGGAAACCACAAACCCUUGCCGAUAUAAGAUGAUUACAUGCAUACCAAUUUGUGGUAGUUAUAAUGAGGAAUAGCGAUCACAUUUACAGAAUGGGGUGCUACUGCAGUCUGGUGUUCUAGUAAACUACUAUAGAUUGGCUUUUACAUAUAGCUGAUUCCAGUAUCCUGCAUGCCCAAGUAGGUGCUUUGCAUAUGUUGACCAGCCACCACUUGUGGGCAUUCAAAAUGGUACAACUGGUGUUAAUUUUUUCAAACAUUUCGCAUAAACUGAAGAACAGCACAAUGUUACUGGGAAGACCACCAUAUCACCAGUUUACACAAUUUUACAAAUGAGAUGUUCAUAAGGGUUACUACAAUUAACAUAUAAAAUAAUAGCCAGAUGAUUGUUACAAUCAUGUACUUUCAUCCUUCACAAUAGUGGUCAAUUAUCAAGAAUGAUGAAAAAGUAACAAAGAACUUAGCCAUUGAAAGUUAUAGAAGCUUAUUUGAUAAUGACACAAUGUUAAGCAUUGUGAAUCGUUAGCAUGUGAAUAAUGGACUAGUCAAAUGUGUCAGCUCAUUGCAUUGUCACUGCAGCAAUAAGAUCCAAAAAGGAGGAGACUGAUUAUUUACCUAAUGCAAGCAUUCUCUAACAAUUGUAGUCUAAUGUAUAUGCAAAACAGCAGCUUUUCCACUUAGAUGUAGAAGAAGACAACACCAAUUCAGAUUAACACACCAAAAACAAAAUAGACCGAUGUUUUAUAGCUAUUUAAAAAAUUCCAAUUGGUUCCACUUAUUAGAUGUGUAAAGCAUGAUAAUAGGACUCUUGAGAAGAAGGGUUAUGUUUGACUCAUUUAUUUUUCAUACUGUCAUGAACACUGCCAAUGACAAUAUCAAGCCAUGAAACAUGUGUCACUGACAUUAGACUAACAACCAGUCACAAACAGAAGCUGAAACUAUGAAAGAAGUAUUAAUUUAAUAAGUUUUGAAAGUAAGGAACCAUAAAGCAAGCUCCAAAUACUUAAUAUAGUCAUGGAACUAAUAUAGUCAUGGUUCAGCACCUCCUGAAUAACUCAUGCUUAACUAUGUACUGAUAUGAGUCAAUGAUUUGUUAUUAGAUAAUACUAGUACUAGUCAUCUAACUCUUUCAAUAAUGACCGGUUGUACACUGCAGAUAGCUGAAAAUGUUGGGUCAUCUGGCAAAAAUAAUAUUAUAGAAAUUUGACAAAUGAGUUCCUUACAUGCAGCAACCCCAUGUCUUCUUAGUUAUGCUCAUAAUUUUAGCAUGGUUUCUGCCUAUAAAAUUCAAAUUCAUUUAAGCAAUCUAUACGACUAAAGAAAUGCUAAUUGGCUCCAAUAAAGAGAGGUGCUUUAAUUUAUGUUGAAGACUGUAGGAAAAGGAGACGGAAAGAAUUACGAUAAAGGUUGCAAAGGAAGACAUGGAGAAGCUUGGAGUAGCAUUAAAGAU